Molecule: long non-coding RNA, 57518 nt
Filed under: Malus domestica (apple)
Lineage: Eukaryota; Viridiplantae; Streptophyta; Magnoliopsida; Rosales; Rosaceae
Description: long non-coding RNA (MDOM_LNC000082)
Source: RNAcentral
AUAAACACAAGUCCGAAUACUUUGCAAAAGGUUUCAAAGAAUUGAAGAAAUGUAAGUUGAUGAGUAAGAUGUCUAAAGUAAUUACCUCCUUAGAUUUGAUCCAAGGAAAGGUAACACUUUAGAAUAGUUUCCUUGAAAGAUAUCAAGGAAAGAAACAUCAUAUGAUAAUGGAUUUCUCCAUUAAGAGAAGAACGAACACGAAAUAAGAUUUAGUUCGUUGGAUGUUAUCAAUUGCCCAUAUGUAGGAUAUAUACUUCUAAGACAAUAUGAUUGUCAAUUAGAAGAUCUUCCAAAAUUUUCAUGACUCCAUAGGAUAUAGUUGGAAAGAAAGACAAAUUUUAAUCAUGUUAAGAUUUGGGGUUGUGUGCUAAUAAGCAAUAUUUGUUUAAAGAAUUAUCUUGUGGGUAUCCUUAAAUUAACAUUUGGAUAUCACUUCUAUAAACCAACUAACAAAUGUUGUUUGUUGGGUAGUUCAUUGUAAUCCUACAAUAUAAUUUGCCUAGAGCAAAUGAACGAGGGAUAGAACUCAAAGAAUGGGUUCUUUGAGAAACAAGAUAGUGAUCAACAAAUAUAACAACCUAGUUCCUAUACCACAAGCUUCAAGGUAGUCGAGAAUGAUUUAUAAACUGUCUCAGUUGAAUGGUUUGAACUUUAUGACUAUGUCAUAGAGUUGCACCUCUUAAUUCGAAAGAAAUAAGAAUGAAAAUCCUUAUGACUACAUUGAGUGUAUAUACGAUAUAUACUCAAGGAAAUGGUAAAGUACCAUUUGACCCGAAAUAAUGAAACCUCCAUAGCUAAUUGGUAGCUUAAGGUGACUACAAUUAAAGAGAUUGGUUGACUUGGAAGAAACCAUCUUUGACGUAGUCUUGUUUUCAAUUAAUUCGAAGAUUGUUAGCUACAACUAAAUGAUGAUUCAAUGUUUGGACAUAAUAUGGGUUUCCGAAACCAUUAUUAAGAUAGUCUUGAUAAUAUAUGUCUAAAACUAUGAAUCACAAGACAUGUAAGUUGUAGAGAUCCAACCAUCAUGGAUCUUAGCAAGCUAGUGGGAGUUAUAAGCGUCUUAUGAGAGAAAGAUCAAAUCAAUUGAUUUCUCAUAAAGAUGUAAAUUAAUCUUUUGUUUACUAAGUUUACAAAAGAUUAGUGGGAGUUAAUCAUAUUCCUAAAAUUGAAUAUAUAUGAUAUAUUAAUUUUGGAAAUGAAAAGAAUACUUCUUCGUUAAAGUUAUGACUUUAAACAUUCUAUAACGAUAGAAUGUAUAUGGGAGAUAUAGUCUAAAUACAUGGGAUAGAAAUCUAUAAUGAUAUAUUUCAAGAUAUAAUUGGAUUAUAUCAAUCCCUAAUAAUAGACAAAAGAUGCUAGGAAGUUUCUCAUAUGAUGAUAAACUUCAAUUAGAAGGACGACUCUAGUGAGACUAGCAAGUUGCCCUUCUCAAAGGGAACAUACCCUUUGACUCCCAAAGAAAUAAUGCGUAAAUAGAAUCCUUUAUGCAUACGUAGAAAGGUGAUUUAUGUAUUUCAUAAUGUAUGAAAACAUUGAUAUGAGUUGUACCUAGAAAGGUACAAGACGAUAUCAGUGCAAGCCCAGGAUCAGAACCAUGGCAACUGUCAAGUGAGUCCUUGAGUAUUUAAGAAAUACUAAAAGAUAGAUUCCUCAAAGAAUGAGGAAGAAUUAGAGUAACGAAAUGGAAGCGUAAAUGUAUUAGAUUAUGAAUCUAAUCCAUCAUUGGAUGUUUCUUCAUUAUGAAUAAAGAGAUAAUCAGAUAUCUCUUUAUUAUGACUAAAAGAGAUAUUUGGAUGGAAACAUUAAAAGUAAUGACUUUAGUGUGUUCCAUUGUGAAUGCAAAAUAUAUUGCUAUAUAGAAGCUUACAACAAUGUUGUUUGGAUGGGAAAGUUCAUUUAUGAACUCUCUAUUCGGUUCCAACCAGAAAGUGUCUCUAGUGUACCGACACUACGACACUAAUGGGGCGAUAGCUCAAGCCAGGGAAUCAAGGUCUCAUCACGAUCCGAACUCAAAUGAGAGACUGAACCACAUGAUUGAGAAUCAUGUAUAAUGGUGACGUCGUUAUUCUCAAGGUUGCUUCUAUGGAUAACAUAUAGAUAUCCAUUGUCUAGGCCUACUACUCAGCCAUUUUUGAAAUGACUACAGAAGAGGUAUCAUCAGUGAUGACCAAGCUGAUUGGCGCUAGUGCAAGUGGGAGAUUGUUGGAAAUGUGCCCUAAAAUCAAUCAUAUGAUGAUACUUUACGGACAUUUCACAUGUUAAACUAAUCUAGUUUAAUAUCAAGGGCAUAGAUUAUUGUUUUAAGCCGUCUCAUAUAAAUGUUAUAUGCUUAAACGAUGAGUCCAAGGAAUAUGUAAUUAGGAGAAUGUAAUUUAAAGAAGUUAGAUUCAUGAGACCAUUCUCUUUCGUAUAUAUCCUAAACGUUCCUGAUCAUAGGAUUGCCAAUUGGGCAUUGACAGUCCGUUAAGAUCAGUAUGUCCUAUGUCUUCUCUUAGUGAGAGUGACUGGUCUCGAGUCAUUGGUGUAAUUGACACCAAGACAAGCAUGUAGGUGCUCAAUAGCGAAUGAGUCCACUGAACACGAUCAACGAGGAGUUCUCAUACUCAUGUCACAUGAGAACUCAUGGUUGGGAUAAUGCAAAGUAGUCCUUUGACCUGAGGCAUCAUAGUUGUCUUGUGGUUAGGUCCUUGAUCUUUGAUUAUGUCAAAGUCACUCCAUUCGCGGGUGUCCACGGCAUAGUUGGGGUUAAGCCACUUAGCCAUGGAGGCAAGUGAAUGCGCAACAAGGGAUCUCUAACAUUCAAACCGUUUGAGGGAGAAUACUCUUUGAUAUGAUUAAGAAUCUCUGGCCAGAGUAUGAAUGAGAUUUAGGAAGUCAUUCCAAAUCACAUUCAAAGUAAUCAUAUAAGUAAAUGAAUCACAUUAGAUAGUAGACAUGAAUAAACUAUCAAACCAAACAAUGUGAUAAAAAAUAUUGUAUUAGAGAAAGACCGUAUUGCAUUGUAAUCCUAAACUGAAUAGGUUCUUCACCUCUUUUGAUUAGCUUGGGUAGCCAUGACAUACUGCUAGGUGUCACUCAUGGUUUAUGGUAGCCCUAAAGGCGAGUAAUCACUAAAGGGAGAAUUGAAAGUAAGUUUUAAUUCACAAUCGAUCGUUAAGAGUAACAAUCGCCCACUGCCUCGCUAAAAGGAACCUAAUGGAUCGUACACCGUGUAAGGUAGAGAUUGAAGAAACAACGGAGAUGAGUAAGGAUAAUUAAAUGGUUUAAUUAUUUAUUUAUGGCUUGAAUUAAUUAAUAUGUUAAUUAAUCAAACGAAUAAGUUCGUUAUAGACCUAGGGUUAGUUUUGGGCUGCAAGACCCAAUGGGAUUUGAAUGUCAAGCCCAUUAACUCAAGUUGUAUGACAACUUGAAUAAACAAAGGGCUUGAAAGCCCAAUAAACCCUUAAGGCCGGCCAUUUAGAGAAGGGUAGUGAACUUGCUUUAAUUACAAGUUUGCCACUCUAAUGAAGGAAGGUAUAAAUAUGACUUUAUAGCCAAAAUUCAUUUAGGGUUUUCUUUUGGGGAAAGGAUGAGAACGCAAGCUUUUUUUUCUCUCUAAAGAGGCCGGCCACCCUAGAGGAAAAUAGCUAGCAAUCUUACUUCCUCUAGGUCACUCAUUUCUUCUUAAAAUCUUACCUUGGUGUGGAGACUUAGAGGUUCUCAAUUUUGAGAACUUGGAGAAACCUAUUCUUCCAUCCAAAUCCAUGGAUCUAAGAAGCAAGGAAUGAAGACCAUAUCUCUUGGGUGAUUAUCCUUUGCUUUUGCAAAGAGGAAUCUACAAAGGUAUAAAUUUCUCAACUCACUUUCUUUUGAGUUGAGUCUUGGUUCACCUAACUACUAGGCUUUGAAUUUCAUGGGUAAUGUUUUGUUUUGAGUGCAUGCAAGCAUGAUUCCGCCUUUAAUUGUUAAUUGCAUGCUAUAGAUGUUGCUCAAAUGAACAUGUUUUUCACAAUAUUUCCUUCAUGGUACUAAAUCACCAUUUGAGAGACCUUAUAUUCGCCCCAUUCGGAAGAACGUCGUUGAGUCUUAAGGAUAUUCGAGAUGACAAUGAUCAUAAAUGAAAUCACUGAAGAAAAUAAAGUGAAAAAUCAUUGCACCACCUCUAAAAAUGAACCCGAAGCUUUGCUUUGUCGGUGUGGAGCUUGGUGAUUGAGCAGUUUACUUGUCAUGGCACGACCGUUUGGGACACUUAGGUCGAACAAUGAUGCCACGAAGCAUCUUCUUACCCGAAGUAAGGAUCAUGUGCUUACAAGCACACUUGCCAUGUGACGACCCGUCCCGAAUUAUUGUAUAUAUUUUAUCCCCGAGUAUGUUAAGUGAUGAUAAUGCCCUCAUGGUUUAGUGACGUGGAUGUGCAUAAGCGUAUUUAAAUUAUUUUUCUCGCUAACGUAAUUAAAUCAUACUCGACGUCACGACAGCGUCGAUGAGUGUUAGGUCGAAUUCGAUUCCUAACGAAAAUAUUACGAUAAUUUAAGAGCGGGAUUGGGUAGAAAUAUAAUUUGGGUUGCUUAUCACAUAUCCACCAAUCACCUUAGCUCCUACAAUCUAUAACCAAAUCAAAAAUUGUGUUGGUUUUAUUUUAUUUGGAUAAUUUGCUUAAACCAUCAAACCCAUGGCCCAAUCCCGGUCACGCACACACACUAAAAAUCUUCCUCUCUCCUUGUUGGCCAAUCAAACGCACUCACACGUACAUACCCAUUUUCUUUCCUUUCUUCUCGAGUUUUCCUGCGUCCGUACACCGAGAACCCCACAUCCUCACGACACCCUCAAAAUGUCACGAAUCGAGCGUUAGGAACUUACCAUCACUCUCCUCUCGAACCUACGAGCUCAUCCAUACCAUUUGUUUGAAGAACGAACGUCGGAAUCGUGAGUAACCAUAAGCUCAGGAGAUUUUAAGGCUCGAGGUGGUUCCUAAUCAACUUAAUAGGGACCCAAGUUAAUUUUGGAGUGAUUUGGAUGUGGGGACACUCGGGUUUAUAGAGUUGCAGACUUAGCCGGAAUUUUGAAGAUUUUCCGUUCACUUCUCAUCGGUUUUAGGACCUCAAAGAGGUAUGGUUAUGUUCUCUUAGUUGAGGGCUUCAAAUUCAUGUGAAAUUUAGGAAUUUUGGUUGAGUUUUGAAGAAGAUAUUAAGAUUUAAAGAUUUUCCAGAAUUCGGCAAUACAAACGGCGGAUUUCGGUGAGUCACCAGAGAAGGAGGAGGAAUAUUCCGUCAACUUUGAUGGAAUAUAUUGACGGCGUCAGGUAACUUUAACGGAAUAUCCCCUAACACCGCUAGGGAUUCUGUCCAUGUGCCAGGCACGUGCCUGUGCAUGGCCGGCGCGUGAGGGCGCGUAGGAUGUCGAAAUUUUUUUCUAAAAAUAUGGCGAUGCUCGUGAUGUUAAGUAGGCCACGAUGGUAUAUUCAAACACCCCAAUUGAGCAACGUAUGUGAAGUUAAUCCUAGGUUUUGUUUAUGUGCUUUUGAAUUAACGUUAAACUAGUUGUUUCAUAUAUAGGUGAGACAUAUCUUAAGGACGAGCGUGGUCAGGCAAGACUUGAGGGCUACAACCCUGCUACUUACCAAUGAGUGGGCUUUUGUUUUCUAUAUAUACAUAUAUAUGCUUCAUGCUUCCCAGAAAUUGUUUUAAAUGAAAUUACAUCUUAAAUGCCAUGUCAUACUUGCAUUACAUUUUAGUAUUUGCAUUGGUAUAGCUAUGCAUGAUAUUGCAUGAUGCUGUAGAGGCCCAGGUAAGUUACAGGUGAGUACAUUGUGAUGAUAGUGGUUGCAUUGUGUUUGGUUAUUCGUGGAUGCAUCUAGAGCUCAUUAUCCUGCAUCCCGAUGUUAGUGCUCCCGCCCGAGGCUAGGGCAUAGCCUUCACAUGAUCGUUCACCUCCCUUACCGCACUCACCUUGGAUCCAAGUCAGGUGUUAACCUGUCAUACACACCACAUUAGGUGGUUCUGACUCGUGUGCAUGAUUAAAGUGGUGAGCUAUAGGUUCGGCCGUACAGGUCACAUUAGGUGACUUCGGCUGACAUAUCAUUUUACCUUGACUUCCAUCACCUGGCUUACACCUUAUAUUUACUGAUACACUUUGACAUGGCAUACUUUGGUUUUCACGUGACACCCCGACCGAGGUCAAGGCAUGCUGGCCUUCACGUGAGAGUGACGUAGCCAUGUGCACAGUGCGGAAGCGGUAAAGAUAGCAAUUAUACAAAUAAUUAAAAACCAGAUUACUAGUGUGCACUACUAAACAGAAAGUGAUAAGAAUUACACAGUAAACACUCCUAAUCAGAGCAUAAAGUUUAGUUGUAGUCCAGUAGGACAAGUACUAGUUACACAGUACCAUGAAUGUCCUAUUAUUAUUCAAAUAGGUCAGAACUGCGGAAGAUCCCGAGCCACCAACAGCAAUCUUACUUAGAACCUGGAAGGGCGCAAAACAGAAAACGUGAGUGGGCAAACACAAAUGUUUUACAAAAUCAUUUCAUUUAUCAACAUACUAACCCCUCGCUAUAAAACAUAUAAGAGUUUCCUAGAAUCAAGAUAUAAGCAUAUACAAAAAUAUAUCUGAAAUCAUAUCAAGUCAAUUCAUGCUUCACAUAAUCAUAUUCAUAUGUAUGCCAUGUCAAAAUAUAACAAAGUAAACAGUUCAGGUAAGAAUGAUUUCAUGGAAAUACGAUAUGUUAGCCGGAACUCCUGUGGUAGUCUAUACGGCUGAAUUCAUAACCCAAACUCAAUCUAGCCGGAGUCACUACUAUGACCUAUACGGCAUUAUUCUGCACAUAAGUCGGAACCACUAAAAAGGGGUCUGUACGACAAGAUUGGGUAUAAUAUAAUUAUGCUCAAUUUUACUCUCUCAAUGCUAGCUGUGCGAUAAUACGUUAGUCACCUACGAGUCGGAACCAGCUAUAGUGGUAUGUACGAUAAGACUGUGCACCUAAUUGGAUCCAAUGUGAGCAUAUGGUACGAGAGGUGACAUAAUAUACAGGCAUGUGCCAGCUCUCUUUGUGGCUAAAUCGCAAUCACCCUGGUGCAGUUUAUAAGCUCAAUGUUCAUCAAUGCAUUUAUAAUCAUUCUAUUCACAACUAAGGCCUUUGCCUCAACUAUUAUAUGAUUGCAUCUAACGUAUCGUUAGACUGCCUACGUACCCUGAAUAGGGAUCAAGUCAUUCGUAGUUCACAUAAUCAAACAUAACUUACCUGAACUUACAUGUGCCUCCACAGCACCACACACACACACACACACACACACACACACACACACACACACAUAUAUAUAUAUAUAUAUAUAUGCAACUAUGAAAUGCAUAACCAAAAUAUAAAGGCAUUUGGCAUGGAAAUUCAAGACAUACUUUCAUUUAAAUGCAUUUCUGGGAAUAUAUCAAGUAUAUAAAUAUAUACUGAAAACCAAAAGCCCACUCACUGAUAUGUUGACGGGUCGUAACCCCCGAGUCGCCCGUGGAUACGCUCGUCCUCGGAAUAAGUCUCACCUAUAUGCGAAUUAACUAUAAAAACGUUAUUUUAAAGCAUAUAGGCAAAACUAGCUAAUAACUUUUCAUACAUAGCUCAAAACGGGUAUAUGAAUAUACCAAUGUGAUCUACACAACCUCACGAACAUCGUGAUAUUUUUAGAAAAAUUUUCCUAUAGCUCACGCGUCGGGGAGGGCACGGCAUCACGAGCCUUCACGCGCAUCACCUUCAACCUCUAGACACCGGAAUAGUGCCACCGGUGCCGGAUUCUAGGCAGACCUGCAACUGCCUAUUUCUCUCUCAUUUUUGCACCAUUUUCUAUGAAAUCUUCACCCAAAUGUCACAAAUUUCAAAAGGAAGAAGGUUAUACCUCUUUGGAGCCUCAAAUCCUUCGAAAACACGUCGGAAAAAUCUCACCAAAACCGGCCACCUUCGAACCUCGUGAUCCCGACAUCCAAAAUCUUCAAACGAAGCACUCCGAGCUUUCUUGGGACCUCACUAAGCUCGCUAUAAGCUUGGAUUGUCCUAAAAUACAACCAUUCGAAAGUUCAUGAAUAGUGCUCAACUCGGAGCUUGAGUUUUCAACGUGAAAUUGAACGAGUUCUUACCUGAAAUGGGUACCUUUGUACUUGUAUGGUCCUCACGAAUACAAUGGUACCAAUUUCUUCUUCGAUCCGUGAUGAUUUGGCUUGGUUCGACCUUGUCCGUAUGGAGGAGAGGGAAGAGAGAGAGAGUGAGUUUGAGAAAGAGUACGGGAGAGAGGAGAGAGAAAGGGUAUGAAUGUGAGUGUGUGGUUCCAAAGUGUACACCAAUCACAACAAAAAAAAUUCUUACUUCCAAUUGGGUCCAAAUUAGUAGGGACUUAAUACAUUGGUCCUCAACCACAACCACACCUAGUCCCACGAUGCCACAAACGCUCGAGGGCAUUUUAGUAUUUUCACAUCAACGAUAACAAAAUAAUGUACAUUUUCGGGACGGGUUGUGACAAUUUCCCCAACUUAUAAAAUUUCGUCCUCGAAAUUACAUACAACCAAUACAUCCACUAAUAAUCAUAAAACAAGCGUGGAUACAUCUCUCUCAUCUGCUCCUCUGUCUCCCAAGUAGCUUCUUCCACUGAAUGAUUUCUCCAUAACACUUUAACCAGACGAACUGUCUUGUUUCUCAGUUCUUUAUCCUUCUAAUCCAAUAGAGUCACUGGUUCCUCAUCAUAUGUCAAAUCCGGAUUAAUUUCCAAAGGUUGAGGAGGAAUCACAUGUGAAGGAUCUGAAAUAUAAUGUCGAAGCAUUGAAACAUGAAAUACAUCGUGCACCUUGGAUAACUCUGGAGGCAACUCAAGCCUGUAAGCAACCUCACUGACUCGCUCGGUGAUCAUAUAUGGUCCAAUGUACCUAGGACUCAACUUUCCUUUCUUUCCAAAUUGUACAACACGUUUCCAGGGUGAUAGCUUCAGAAAUACCCAAUCACUUACAUCAUACUUCCGAUCAGUGGUAUGCUUGUCUGCUAAGCUCUUUUGUCGAUCUUGGGCCGCUUUCAAGUUAGACUUAAUUACCUGAACAUUUUGAGUAGUCACAUCCACAAUCUCAAGACCCACUAAAACUCUUUUGCCAACCUCUGACCAACAUAGAGGUGUACGACAAGAUUUCCCAUAAAGUGCCUCAAAUGGUGCCAUACCAAUGCUCGAAUGGUAGCUGUUGUUGUAGGCGAACUCCAUCAGAUUCAAACAAUCAUGCCAACUAUCUCCAAACUGCAACACUGAAGAUCUCAACAUAUCCUCUAAUGUCUGAAUGGUCCUCUCAAAUUGUCCAUCUGUCUAAGGAUGAUAUGCCGUACUAUAAAGCAAUCUCGUACUAAGAGCUUCCUGGAAUGCUAUCCAGAACUUGGAAGUAAAUAUGGGAUCCCGAUCCGAGAUAAUAUUAACUGGCACACCAUGGUACUUCACAAUCUGUGUAAUAAAUAACUUAGUUAAUCGACUUAACGAAUACUUUUCCCUUAUUGGAAUAAAAUGUGCUGACUUCGUAAGCCGAUCAACUACUACCCAAAUGUCGUCAUAACCAUUAUGUGUGCGAGGAAGCUUGUAUACAAAAUCCAUAGUAAUAUUUUCCCAUUUCCAUUGUGGAAUGGGAAGUGGCUGCAUCAACCCAAACGAUUUCUUUCUUUCAACUUUAACCUGUUGGCAAAUGGCACACCUACUCACAUAUUCGGCAAUUUCUCUCAUACCUAGCCAAUAGUAAAAUGGUCUAAUGGUAUGAUACAUCUUAGUGCCUCCUGGAUGCAUCGCAUAUGCCGAAAUAUGUGCUUCAUCCAAAAUUUCUUUCUUUAAUUCUGCAUUAUUCGGCAUAUACAUUCUGCUUUCCUGCAUAAGCAUGCCAUCUCUUGAAUUUCAAAAUCUUUCUUUUUGCCUUGAUUCCUUGCUUGAAUUAUUUCCUGGGUCUCCUUGUCAAUCAUCUGAGCCUCAAGCACACGAUCAAUUAAAACUGGCAUAACCUGGAAAUUAGCAAGCAAGGCUUCUCCUCGAUCUUCCACUCCUAGCUCCACUCCAAUGGACCUCAAAUCUGCUAAAAGAGGAACAUGACAAUAAUAGAUGGCAUUAAGUCUGGCUGGAGUCUUCCUUGCCAAAGUAUGUUUGAACUUGCAGUUCCUACACUGCCCAAGGUAACCCUAUUAUGUUACAAGUGGGAAAUGAAGCGUAAUGUGAUGAAUGAAAUAAUGCGAUAUGUUGCACGCCUUAUGGCACAAAGUUUCUCUCAAACGCCCUGUGAUUCACUGCAGCAUUACGAAUGUGAUUAGUGUUUCUUCAUAGGGAUAUGAAUUAUGCCCUUGCAUGUUAAACUAUUAAGUCUUAUUCCAAAUUGCUAGAGUUACAUUUUAUGUCAAUGACAUGAAUCUCACUAAAAUUCUGGAAGAGCUUGAGAAAACUGCUUGCACUUGAAGAUGAAAUUUGAGAUGAUGGAUCUUGAGAAAACUCAUUUAUACAUUGACCUAAAGUUCAAGCGUUGUUCUGAUGGUACUUUGGUCUACUAGUCGAACUACACACCCCUGAAGGUGUUACCUUUGAGUAUACUUAUGAUCUUCCAUAGGCUAUAUGCAAAUGAGACCUUGAAGAGGUUGUGGAAUCCAAAGUUCCAUAUCUGAGUUCAACUUUGCGCUUUGUUGUGCUUAGCUUAUUGCAUUAUAUAGGACAUCUCGUUAUUAAUCUGUUGGUAAAGAUGCAGCAUUACGCCUACACACAACCACUGAAUUGGUAUUAAAGACGUUUUUCCGCUACCUUGAAGGUACUACGAAUUUGGGCUAAUUCCAAUGAAUCCCAAGAAGAUUUGAGCCCUUGAUCAUCGGAAUGAUGCUUGCCUUGUUUGUUAUGCUGAUGCUGGUUACUAUCAAACCCACACAAAGCACAUCCCUGAAUGGUUUAUGUUUUUACUGUUAGGGAUAUUGCAAUAUCUUGGAGGUCCAUGAUAUGACCUUAGUUGCAAAAUCUUUGAAUCAUUCCAAGACUCAUUAUUUCACUAUGCCAUACGUGAGACAUGGUUGAGAGAUCUUGUUCAGCAUAUUCAAAGUACUUACUGUUUUCAUCCAUCAUUGAGUCCCAAUGAUGAUCCAUGAAGACUAUGCUGCAUGCAUCCACCUGACUAAGACAUGAUACAUCAACAAAGUCAACACCAAGACAUAUUGCGUUUACAUCACAUCAGAAAAGCAUCAGGAGAUUGAAGUCAUGCAAGCCGAUUUCAGACAACCUUGCCAACCUUUACCGACGUAGCUUCUUCCACUGAAUGAUUCAUCCAGACUGAAGGAUGAUUUUGUGAAAACUUGUUCAUUUAAGCAACAUCUAUUAACAUGCAAUUAACAGUUAAAGACGGAAUCAUGCUAGCAUGCACUUAAAACAAAACAUUAACCAAGAAAUUCAAAGCCUAGUAGAUUGGUGAACCAAGACCCAACUCAAAUCAAAACGAGUUGAGAAAUUUAUACUUUUGUAGAUUCCUCUUUGCAUAAGCAAACGCUAAUCACCCAAAGAGAGGGCCUUCAUUCCUUGCUUCUUAGAUCCAUGCAUUUGGAUGGAAGAAUAGAUUAUCCAAGUUCCCAAAAUUGAGAACCUUUAAGUUUCCACACCAAGGAUGGAUUGAUGAAGAAAUGAGUGACCUAGAGGAAGCAAGAUUGCUAGUUAAUUUCCUCUAGGGUGGCCGGCCUCUUUAGAGAGAAAAGAGAGCUUUGUGUUCUCAUCUUUUCUCCAAAAGAAAACCCUUAAUGAAUUUAGGCUAUAAAGUCAUUUAUAUAGUCCCUUCAAAUAAGUAACCUAAAUAACCAAAAAGCCAUUCUUCUAACAUGGCCGGCCACAAGGGUUUUAUUGGGCUUUUGUGAAUUAAUAGUCAUUAAGUUGUCAUACAACUUAAGUCAAUGGGUUUGACGUUCGAAGCCCAUUGGGCCUUGAGGCCCAAAACUAACCCGUGGUCUUUUAACGAACUUAUUCGUUUGAUUAAUUAACAUAUUAAUUAAUCCUUGCCAUAAAUAAUUAAACCAUUUAAUUAUUCUUACUCAUCUCCGUUGUUUAUUCAAUCUUUACCUUACACGGUGUACGAUCCAUUAGGUUCCUUUUAGCGAGGUAGUGGGCGAUUAGAACUCUUUCAAACCGAUUGUGAAUUGAAACUUACUUUUAAUUCUCCCUUUAGUGAUUAUACACGUUUAGGGCUUCCACAAACCAUGAGUAACACCUAGCAGCAUAUCAUGGUUACCCAAGCUAAUCAGAAGAGGUGGAGAACCUAUUCAGUUUAGGAUUACAAAUGCAAUACAGUAUUUCUCUAAUACAAUACUCUUGACCACAUUGUUUGGUUUGAUAGUUUAUUCAUGUCUACUAUCCAAUGUGAUUCGUUUACUUAUAUGAUUACCUUGAAUGUGAUUUGGAACGCCUUCCUAAAUCUCAUUCAUACUCUGAUCAGAGAUUUUCAAUCAUAUCAUAGAGUAUUCUCCCCAAAACGGUUUGAAGGUUAGAGAUCCCUUGUUGCGCAUUCAAUUGCCUCCAUGGCUAAGUGGCUUAACCCCAACGAUGCCGUGGACACCCGCGGAUGGGGUGACUUUGACAUAAUCAAAGAUCAAGGACUUAACCACAAGACAACUGUGAUGCCUCAGGUCAAAGGACUACUUUGCAUUAUCCCAACCAUGAGUUCUCAUGUGACAUGAAUAUGAGAACUCUUCGUUGAUCGUGUUCAGUGAAUUCAUUCUCUAUUGAGCACCUACAUACUUGUCUUGAUGUCACACACACACCAAUGACUCGAGACUAGUCACUCUCCCUGAGAGAAGACACAGCACGUACUGAUCUUAACGGACUGUCAAUGCCCAAUUGGCAAUCCUAUGAUCAGGAAUGUUUAGGAUGUGUCUACGAAAGAAUGGUCUCAUGAAUCUAACUUCUUUAGAUUGCAUUCUCCCAAUCACAUAUUCCUUAGACUUAUCGUUUAAGCAUAUAACAUUUAUAUGAGACGGCUCAAACAAUAAUCUUUGCCCUUUAUAUUUAAACUACAUUAGUUUAACUUUGUGAAAUGUCCGUAAAGUAUCAUCAUAUGAUUGGUUUUAAAGCACAUUUCCAACACAGACAACCUUGCCAACCUCUACCGACGUAGCUUCUUCCACUGAAUGAUUCCUCCAGACAACCUUGCCAAUCUCUAGAAGCUUGUCCGAGGAAUUGAUAUGCCUAACUAUUCAUAUGCAAUGCUUGUAGUUCUCAUUUGGAAGUUCUAUCAAACUUAGGAGGAGUAUCUAGAAGUAUACUUACUUGAUCUUAAUAUACUCUUUUUCUUUACGAUUAGGAGCAUUUUUCCCACUGAAUUUUUGCUACCUAACUAAAUUUUGACGAGGCACCCCAUCUUAGGCUGGUCAUACCCUUGUGAGCUCUUCUACUUGCAUCCAGAAGACGUUUAGUUUUGACUUAAUACACGUUUAGUUUUGACUUAAUACAACUUCUCACUUUUCUACUUAGUUAUGGGUUUUUAUCCCACCUUGGGUUUUACUAUAACGAGGUUUUAUGAGUUUUACCUUUUAUGCAUUAUUCCAUUGAUUUGAGACUCACAUUCGCUCAUUGUGCCGACGACUUUAUCAACUGUACUUACUUCAUUGCUGAAGACUUGAUGCGCCAUUUAAUUGAGUAUUUACACACUCAAGGGAGAGUGUUGCAGUAUUAUUAGAUUAGGAAUGUGAUUGUAUAAAUCCUAUCAUAUCUGGGAUAUCCUUAUGAGAUUCUACCAUAUCUCUUAGACUAAAUAUUAUCCUAUUAUAAUAGUAAUCCUAUUGGGGUAAAGAAUUUACCUUUCAUACUACUAUAAAUAAAUAAACAAUGGGAUGAGAUAAUACACAUCUCAAAAUUAAACAAUGGGGUGAGAUAAUACACAUCUCAAAAUUACGCAUCUUCUCUCUCUCUUUCUCUCUCUAUAAUUAUUCAGUAAAUUAUGCCUAUAACACGUUUGUAAUUAAAAAAUAAUGUAUAAAUGAGAUCCUUCAUAAUGAUCCAGCUCUGCAAGCCAAGCUCUGCUCGUGAUAGGCCCAAUGGGUGGUGGGCCGAUCAAACAAUUGGACUUAAACAUUGGGCUCAGCUAGCUAACCUCUUAUUAAUCAUGCUGUGCCAUGCCUUGUUUAAAAGAAACUUUAACGAAAAUCUCACAGUACUGUUCACUUUAACGAAUAACCUCAUUUUUACACUAAAAAGUCAAUCAUGGUACGAUUCACUUUACCCUUUAUUUUGUUCUUAUCGUUAAAUUUCAAAGUUUUCAAGUCAUUUUUAUUAAUUUUCCUUUAUUUAAAUGAGCUUAGUCUGUGGCCAUGCCGUGCUCGGCACAUCCAUCGACUUCUUAUAGCGACAAAAUAAAUUAAAACUGAUGUGCAUCAACUUCUCGAUGUCCAAAUGCAUAUCGAGCCUGACACAAUGGUUCAUUACUAAUGAAUUUGAUGAAAGGGCAUCUUACUAUGAAUCACAAGAAAUCAGAGACUUACUAUUAGGAGAACCACGAGAAAUCAAAGACUCUCGACGGAAUCAUAAGAUAUUGGCAACUGAAACUACGAAAAUAAAGUCUCAAUACAGCAAAUCAAAUCUCAGAGCUCUUAUCUUCUUUAGGAGGUGCAAACUACUUGCAAAGGUUGGAUCUCGCCCAAGGAUCCAAAGGAACUCUCUGAGGUGGUUGGGGGGCUGGUGGUUUUGAUUGUCUGAGCUCAUUUUCUCUGUCGAUGAACCUAUACAAGUUUGCCAACACAUAGUUAGAAUGUAGCCCAACAUCAACCAGUAUUGAUCAAAACAGUCAGUGAACCACUGUGUGCUAGUAGAGUUAUCUGAUAUAUAGAAUUGUACUCGUUACUACUGCAAAUUAUAAGAAAAACUGAAGACAGUGCAUUAUUUAAGCAAUGGGGUAGGUAGACACUAGACAAGUAAAUUGUAUUGCUUAUGUUUUUUUCCUAUGCUUCCCAUUUUCUUCCUCUUGUUUUUCCAUCCCAAGGAGAAAAGUGAGGGUUUAGAAAGCAUCACAUAUUGGACAAUCAAUGUCCGCAAAAAUUUGUAAAUUAAACAAACACUGCAAAAUGAAUUCAGUAUGGCAGACAAGUAUACAAAGAUGGCUAAGAAGGCAGAGUUACUGAGGAUCAAAUAUAUCAAUAAAAUGCAAAAUUACCCCAUUUAUUCAUAUAUAAUCUUUGUUUAUUUUCCAAAAGACUCCUACCCUAUUAAUAUGGAAAGAAACGACAAUUGCCCAUCUACGGACAUAAAAUGAAUGCUUGCAUGCACCAAAUGCACUCAGAUUAUUUGUUAAUCAUCGUACUCCCAGUAAUUUGCUUCUCCUUUUGGUAUAUAGGAGGGGCAAAUACCCCCAAAAGAAGGAGACAAACUAUAUCGAAACUGUCCUUGGUUUUUUUCUCAGAAAUUUUUUUUGGAAUUAUUCUCGAUAUUUCAUUUUGGUGCUUGAUUUCAUUUGGCAUUUUUUGGCUUCACUUGAUUUUAUUUUGGAUUCGAAUUGAUGGGUUCUGCUUGGGUGGAUUUGUUGUCUCUUAGUUUUUAUGUUCAAGAUAACACAUAUGAAUAUGCCUAUAUAUUAAAAUCUAUACGGGUCUUAAAUGGGUCAUUUAUACCCAAAGGUUAAAAUGAGUGGCCAUACACUCUUUUACUUAGGCAUUUGAGCAUGGGUAAAACCAACUUUACAAGUUUUUAAAUUGGACAAACAUAUUUCUUUUUUGUUUUAUUUGUUUUUGCCAGACAGACAAACAUACUUCAAUCAACAAAUAAAUAACAGCCUUACUCAAUAUAGGCCAUAGGUGCAGCAUCACCAACUCGUAUACGAGUGCGAAGUAGCCUUGUGUAUCCACCUACUCGAUCUCUGUAACAUAAUAUCCAACCAAUGUAACAAAUGAAAAUAUAGAAGACUUAAAAAACAAGAGGUUUGAGGUUCACUUGUAUCGAUAAGCCAUUUCAGUAAAUAGCUUGUGAAGUACAUUAUCCCCACGCACAAAAGCAGCAGCACGCCUUGCGGCACACAAGGAGCCCUGUCUCAAUAUUGAAAGAGAACACAAUCACGUGAGAAAAAAAAAUCCAUACAAAUGGAUCAACAAUGAAGAUAUUUCCAGAACUUUGCACCGCAAAACAAGAGUACAAGCAUAUUUCAAAUUUCAAUACAUCAUGUUCAUAUAGCCAAAUAUUGAGUUAGAACUUUGGUAAAUACCCCCAUAAAGUGUUUAUAGAUAAAAAUAAAAUUACAUAAACAUAUUUACUCACGAAUGUCAAAGCACUGUAUCAAACUACCAAGUUCUGGUUAAGAUAGAAAACUUUCAAAUAAGUGAUAUUUAUCAUGAAGCUCACAGCUGACUGUAUCGGUUCUAUGGGGCAUGACUUAUUGGGCAUUGGGUAUUCUUGGAUUUUUCAAUUAGAUAUUAUUUUGCUUGUAGAUUAUGUUGGCAGAUGCUGGUUCACAUCCAACAAUUAACCCCUUUUUCCCGAACCCAAAAGAAAAUAAAAAGGUAUAUGUAACCUCUCUAAUCAAAUAUUAACAUAUGCAUUUCGGUAGAUAUUUUUUACCCAAACAACAGUCCGACUAGCGUAUUUCUCAUUCAAACAACUAGCAAGGCUUUCAACAGAAAACUGAUGCAAGACCCAAUGACAAACACACACAGGGUGAUCAAAUCAUCAAACAUUCACUAUGUUUCACACCCAACAACUAAAGAACACAGGGUGAUUGAAUCACCAAAGAUUCACUAUGUUUAGAUUAUUUGGAAAUCCACAGAACAUCUAUAGACCACCAAAUAUAAGCACCUAACAUGUUUUCGAACUUCAAAAUUUUCAACACGUGCAACUCAACAUCACUCCAAUACUUGCACCUCACAUUUCAAUCUCAUGUUGGGCUAUCUAAGAUUGCAUAAAAUUUUCUAUCCAAUUGGAAUAACGUCACAAUUUACAGAAUUUCAAACUUGGGAACCAGGAGUUACUCAAGCAUGUGUUCCUCAUGUACAAAUCAGAAGGUGUGUUAUUUCAAACCUAUUCAUUUCUGUAAUUAAAGAGAAGCAGGGCCUAUAUGUUAACCGAAACAGUCACUUUAAGAUUCUCUCCAAUGGGCUAUAGCUUACAUAAAUCUCUGUCAACGAAAAACUUCAUCUUCUAAAACCAAUUAUUAAAUAUAACAAUGUAAAGCCCGCAAAUGUAAUAUUUAAACACAAUUAUAGCAGAAUCAAAUACAUACAUCUUUUCCAAGCUGCACCAUUUUAUCAGCCUCGCGACGGAUCUCUUUGGCCUGCAAAUAGAACAAACAAAACAUUUAAACCUAAAGUUUAAAUUUGCCGAAACAUCGAAGCUUACGGUGAAACUUUUUGUCCUUAUAAACUUGUUUGACCAUGGCAUAAAAAAUGUAUCAGGGUUCAGGCACCAAAAGAAAAGGAAUUUUAAUAUAAUUAUUACAAAAAAUACAAAAUCAUAGACAGAAGAGAAAUAUAAUCAGAUAGUACUGUUUCAAUCAAAGAAAUUAACUAAAACCCUAAACCCAGAAAACCUCUAAAUUUGUAAAAUGUGGGAAAAUCCCAACAAAUAAACGAAAAAAAGAGGAGGAAUAAAAAGAGAAGGAAUAAAAAGAGAAGGAGGUACCUUGGAAACAGUGGUCUCAAUGCGCUCGUGCUUCACCAACUGCGACACCAUCGUCCUGCGCAUCAAACCACACUAAUUCUUUCAACCAUAAUUACAUUAACAUUUUGAGCUUCGAAAGCUAAACCUGUGAGAUUAGGAACCUGAGCAUGGACAUGCGGUGACCCGUGGGUCGGUUUAGCUUCCUGAACUUCGUCAUCCUCCUCCCUCGCGAGCCUCGCCUUCGCACACUGACAGUGAGAAGAAGAGGGGAGAGCUUGGAAAAUUGAAAAUACCAAAAACCCUAGGGUUAAGAUUCGGGUUUGAGGGCACCGUGGACUGAGCGGAUCAAGGUUACAGAUUUGGGCUCAAAAUUCAGUGGAUCGAUCCUUACAUUGGGCUGAGCUUAAACAUAAGAGCUCAAUUCGAGAGAUAUAUGGCUUAUCAUCGUUGCCUAUGGCCCAAAUACCCUCCAUUCUCUCGCCAAAUGCGAAUUCAAACUAUAAUAUUGCUAGCUCAUUGUUAGAUUAAGACCACUGCCCACCUGUUCCCCCUAAUGUCGUUUGUUAAAAAAAAAAUUUCCAUUUUGGGCGGAAUCAAAAUUAGUGACACUCUUCCCAUCUAAAAUCAUCUUAUACCUUCAACUUAACAAAGAGGAGAAUUUCGACCAAAAAAAAAAAAAAACAAAGAAAGAAAAAAAAAACAAAGAGGAGAAGCCUUCAACCUUCCCAACUGAGAUUGUUAUAAACCUUUUAUUUGCCUCAAAACUUAUGUUUCAAUGUGAAUGUACCGCCUACCUAACUUUUUGUUAAAAAUUUAGUCAAAUCAAAUUGUUUAAUUUUUCAAGAGUAAAAAUUAGCAAGGUUCUAAAAAACACUAGGCACUAGUCGGGCGGCGGGCUGGCGCCUAGCGCCUAUGCGUAUUUAGGUAAAUUUAUUGAAUAUUUUGUAAAUAAAUGCAUAUUGACACUUACAAAAAAUUAUACUUAUAUGAAAUCAACAGAUAAGAUAAUAAAAUAAUGAUAAAAUGCAAAAACAGUAUCCAACAAGUCCAAAUUUUAAAAAUACAUUAAGCAUAUAUGCCAUAUAACCAGAGUGAGGAGUAUUGUGGGAUGAAACAUGUACAACAAGUUUACAAUUUAAAACCAUAUAAAAUGCAAAAUAGGAGGAAAAUAAAGAAAUAUAAUAAUGUAAGAUACUUAUCUGUUAAAAGCCCACGAUACACAUUAUAUAGUUUGCAAUUAAUUUUGUAACAAUGCAAAUUGCUUUGGUACAAAUAUGUUAAAAGACCUUUACAAAUUCCGAAACAAAAAAGAUUUCAAUUUGGAAACCAUUUCUAAAAGUAUGAAAAGGCCAUGAAUUUUUACUUAAAGAUUUCAAUUUACAAGCAUAAAACUCAAAACAUGCAUUCAAUACCUAUUCCAGAUAAAUUUGGAAUAUAUUGCCUCAAUAAGUACUUUUGUUUGUUCGAAAUUAUAUUGUUGCACCAUACUCUUGAAGGAGCUCAGAGUUAUGGUAGAACUCUUGGAUAGUCUAUAAAGUUAUUUACAAGGUUCUAAAAAACGUUAGGCGCUAAUCGGGCGGCGGGCUAGCGCCUAGCGCUUAGGUGGAUUUAGGUAAAUUUCUUAUAUAUUUUAUGAAUUAAUUAAAUUUAUUAUAUCAAAUGUAAAUAAUUAUUGACUUAUAUGUUAUUUCUUAUAAAAGAAGAUACAUAUGUGAAUAUUUUUUGUACAUAUAUGAUAUACUUGCCUAGGAAAAAAUACAAAAUAUUAUCUAAAUAAUUUAUAAUUUAUAUAAGAUUUAUAUAUGUGUGUAUAUAUAUACACACACACACCAAACUUUUAAAAAUAUAAAAAGCCCACAUGGUGGGUGGUUUUCAUUACUAAAACCAUGAAACCGUCCACCUCACCUCUACUCUUUCACAUCACCUGUCCACCUUGUGGUUUCAUAAUUAAACCAUGUCAGAGUCCAUAGUUCUAUAAUUAAAACCAUGCUUUUGACCUUGGAUUCCCGGUCCUCAACUUGCACGGUUGCACAUGCACCACCACAUAUUCAAAUGUUUAAGCCUCCUUCUCUCUCUCUCUCUCUCUCUCUUUCUUUUCGCACUCUCUCUUCUCUGAGUUUUUUCCAAAAAUCUCUAGCAAGCAGCCAUAGUUUCCGAUGCAGGUGCAGAUGCCAAAUGCGAGGUGUGAGAUGCGAUGCAGGUGUUGGAAACUUGGAGUUGCAGAUGCUACGAGAGUUCGAGGUGAGAGAGUUACAGUCUUGCAGAGCCUUCAGUGGUGGCGAGAGUUGCAGAGCACCUUGUGCGACGGCAAGAAUUUCAGACCGCCUAGAGCGCCGCCUAGCACUGUCUAGACCGCCUAAAUCCCCACCGAUUUUUUAAACGAUUUUCCCCAAAUCGCGGCGGGCUUCCACCGCCGAACGCCUAGGCGGCAGCCUUGAACAUUUUUUAGAACACUGGCUAUUUAGUGUAUAUUGUGUAGCCAUGAAGUCUAAUCAGUGGCAAAUCCAUAAAAUAAUAUUAGGGGGUCAGUAAGAAUAGCGAGAGCAGCGCGCAAUUUUUGUUUUUUAUACCAGAAAUAGCAUACAUAUUGCCAUUUCAUCAAGUCUUGGUAGGCUUGAAGGCAUUUCGAAAGGCAUAAUGCACACCUGUUAAUGCCUCAUUUGUGAGGGUAACUAACAUAUUUCAAGGCUGCUCCCCGAUAGGAGCAUAUUUAUGCGACUUUGUUAUCUUAUUUCUUUGCAUUUACUUAGUUAAUUUCCAUUUAUUUUGGUAAUUUAAGCUAUUUUCGUAUUAUUGUAGGUCCAGUUGGUAAAGAUGACAAUAAAUAGCUAAAUGGAGCAAUUUGGAGUAGUUUUGGACUUGGAUUGGAUAGCAUGCGUGGAUAGCAUAUAGGCUGGACAUUUUUUGUGUUUAAAUGGUGCUAAACAUGUGCUAAAAUCUAGAGAAAUUAAAGUUGAGGCUUGGAAGACAAAGAAUUACACAAGAAAGAGGAAUCCUAGUUGGAGAGGAAAAUUACCUUAUCUUAUCUUAUCUCCAGCUGCAAUGAGGAAUCCUAAUCACAUUCCAACACUUUCUACCUAAUUUUUAGAGUCCUAAAAUAACUCAAAAAUGCCAAAACCUUUUCUUCCUUGGAUUCAGCCAUUUUCGCCUAUAUAUAUGAAAUUCUUGCAGAGAUUUAGGAUGUGCCAUGCAUACCAUUCAUCCAUUGAAGUUGCUGGAAUUUUUAGAGUUCUUUCUAUCUUUGUUUUAAGUUUCAAUGUUUAUUUUAGAUGGCUUUUUAGUUAUGAUAAACAUGUGUAACUAAGUUUCCUUUUAGCUAGAGGUGAAUUCGAAACCAUGAUCAUAUGUUUUAUAUAAAUUGAUUACAUCCAGUUAUUGUUCAUAAAAUAUGAAUGCGAUUUACUUAUUUGCUUUAUAGAGAACUUAUUCUUGUAUGUUUAUUAAGGGUGCACACUUAGUUUGCAUGCAUGGAUUUGAUGCUAGAAUAUAAGGGAAUUUCACCUAAUCGUUAUGAACUUAUAUUUGCAAGUAGUAAAAAUCACUAGUCAUGAUUGAGUUAAGUAAAUUCCUGACAGGAGUAUCAUGCUUUUCAUAGUUACGAAUAUCUUGUCAAUACUUAUAAUUUUCAAAGAACUUAAUGAUCUUUUGAGAUGUAUCUCUAUCAUGCUUUUCAUAGGUAUGGAACUUGAGAAGAAUAAUUUGGUUGCGUCACUGAGUCGAAUUCAAUGAACUUAGGAAAAUAUGAGAAUUAAUUAAUGCUAUUCACAUUUAAUUUGGAGCAUUGUCAUUCAUGGUUUAUAGGAAGAAUAACUAUAAAUCGAUUUGUAUGCAUAUGUUUCAUGUGUGGAGAAGAAUCCUUUAGCUAUCAUUUCAUCCAUAUUUCAUUCACAACUUAAUUUAUUUGAUGCCCUUUACUUUUAUUUUAAUUAAAUUCGUCCAAAAUCUCCCCUCUCAUUGUUUUAAUGUUAGUUUAAUUUAGUUUUCAGUUUUAUAAGUUUAGUUUGUGUUGAUUAGCAUCCCUUCUAAUCCCUGGAAUAGAACUAUCCCUACUUACACGUACUACGCUCGCAUAAUUUAUAGGGUUUAAUUUGUGCGUUAGUUUCUACCACAUCAAAUUUUGGCGGCGUUGCUGGGGAUUAGUAAAAUUGCUAAUCGCUCUUUUUUUUGUUUAUUUUUCUUUUGAUAUUUGAUUUAGUUUUAUUUCUUUGAUUUCAGGUACUAGAGAAGCAAGACAUGGCAAUUACUAAUCUUCAAGCUCAAAUGGUAAAUCUUACUUCUCUUAUGUCGCAGUAUGUUGAAAGGUCCACAAUGCAAAGUGUCCUUACAUUUGGUGUGUCCUAUAGGCAAGGAUAUCAAACUAAUCACCAUCUUCAAUUAAUUGAGAAUGGAGGUGGGAGAGAUCAUUCAAAUUUUAUGUGGAGGGAACUUCAAAAAGUUCAAGAAGAAGGAUAUUGGUAGCCAUUUGAGGAGUUCUAUUCAAAACCUAUGCAGCCACCACAACCUCCCCCACAACAAUUCCAACCAAAUUCAAGCAUUUCCAUGGAUCAUGUUCAAAUUCUUCGAAUACUAAAUACUUCUUGGGCUUCUUUGACUCAGGAUCUAGAAAACCUACCUAAAAAGAUGGUCGAAUUGAAAAAUCAACUUGUAUAGAUCACAGAAUUCAUGGGACAAAUUCAAGAACAAAGUGAACUCUCCAACUCAACUAUUGUCAAUUCAACGGGAGAUUUUGAAAUUGCUGAUGCUAUCACGUUGGGAAGUGGUAUGGAGGUUGGAGCUGAACCAAAGAUGUCCAAACAUAGCCUAGAAGUGGACAAAUAGUUGUUGUCCGAAGAGGAGGAGGAAGACUCAGCCACGGCAAGCUUAGAAGAACCCUUGCCGCAUCACCCAAUCAUCUCUAAUCCUAGUGUUGUAGCCACCCUAGCUCCACCACCACCCAAUUCAAGUAAGGCUGUUCCAAAUUCAAUUCUUUCUAACCCUAUUCCACCAAAUGUACAUUUUCCUCGCAGGUUUAUUUAAUCCAAGAAAGAAGAUAGUGAAAAAGACAUCUCGAAACCUUUCCAAAGAUUCAAGAGAAAGAAGUGGUUGGGGAAUAUCUAGAAUUCAUCAAAGAGGAUGUGCUUGAGACAACCAUCCCCAAAGAAGUUGGAUUUUAUGACACGGGACAAGUCACUGCUCUCAUAACAAAUCUGGCUAAAAGCAACAUUCCUGGAACUUUCGAAGUAGUGUUUGUCGUUGAGAUCUUGUCACAGCACAAAGGUAAGCCACCUCCUAAAAUUUCAAUUUCAUUUUCUACUAACAUGUUGUUGAUUUCAAUGAUUCAGGCACCCACUUUAGAAUUUAAACCAUUACCGGAUCAUUUCAAGUAUCACCUUCCAUUCAAAGAUCAAUUCCAUUCCGCCUAGUCCUAGUGAGGAUUAAAUGGAGGUAUCGUCCGGCCGGAAGACAUUAAAGCAAACGCUUCUUGGGAGGCAACCCAUGUAUUAAAACAAAGAGACAUUGGAAUUUCUAGCUCCUACAACCAGAUUUGCUUUCUUUUACCAUUCUCUUUUUGCUUUUUUUGCUAUUGUUGUUUUUAUUGCUUUUUUGCUUUUCUUGAGAAUUGUUUCUUUGAAAUAAUUGCACUUUUAAAUUGUGUUAUUCUUAAUUUAAAAAAAUGAUUGCUUUAUUACAUGAGGAUUUGAUUUUUAAUUGCAUUGUUAAAGAAAGUUAUAAACAUGGGUGUAAGUUUGAUAUGCUAUUUGGUUAUUACAGUUAUAUUUGUCAUUUACAUGAAAAUAAUCAAAAAUCUAACAUGCUUGAAGGAAGAACGCUACAACCCUGUGAGACUUGAGCCUAUUAUUUAUUUGGAGAGUUAUUAAUCUGUGAUAUUCUUGCUUUCUAAAGUCAUUGCAUGAUCUCAUUAUUUCUUUGCUUGGUUGCUACUUAGAAUGCUUUUUCGUCAUUUUAGUUCCAAAUACUAUAACUCAUGCCCAUUUCAUUUAAAGCGUAAAAUUGAUUGCAUAAUAAAUAACAAGAUGAAGUUGUUUAGUUACCACUAGAGCCAAAAGCCUUAUCCCUUGCAUAUGCAUUUUAGGUCUAACCCCUUUGAGCCUUAUUUAGCCUAUUUUCUUUGUUAGCCUGCAUUAUCCCUACCUAGCCUAGUAUAGGAAUAUCCAUACCCUUGUUCUUAAAGAAUAGUAAAGCAUGACUUAUUGCGAAUUCCAUUUGAUUUACGAUUUGCAGAAAAAACAAGUGUGGGGGGAAGGAUUUGUUUUUGUUUUUUUGAAUCCAGUGAAGUAGUGCGUAUGUUUCAAAGAAAAAAAAAAGAAAAAAAAAAGAAGAAAAACGAAAAAAAAAAGUUGAGAAAAUAAAAAAAGAGGUUGAGAAAGAAGUGAGAAUGAGUUCAUAAGUGUUCGUUGUUGAAAAAAGGUCCAAAAAUGUGAAUUUGACCCCUAAGUUGUACGAAUCUCCCCGUUGUGUUUAUAGUUGGGUGUUGCAAUCAAAAGUUGAAUUCUAAGUGUUGAUUUCAUUACUUUGCUUAUUAUCACUUUAAGAACCUUUGUUUAUCCUUAACGUUUAUUUGUUAGCCAAUACUUUAGUCCCAUUACAACCCUUAGACUUUUAUCUUGAUUGUUAUGUGAUUCAAUAUGUGGAGUUUGAAAUUGGUACGAGCAUAUGGAAUCCCUGGUUCUCGCUUCUAAGUAGUGGCACUCCGUUCAUGAGAUCAUAUACAUGUUUGUAUUAAUAAUUUCAGAAAGUCCCUUCUUUGUUAUAACAUAUGUGAGUGCUAGUCUACAUGUUUACAUCAAGUUUCUCAUAUAUACUUCAUAUAGGGAGUGUAAUCAGAAAAUUUGUGUGAAAAUAGAGAGUAUAUCCGGUGAGGAAUUGAGUGAAUUCUUAAGGCAUGUUACUACUUUCAAAUGUUAUUUUAAUUGAUUAAAUGAGAGCUAGUGAGUGGUUACUACGGUUAAGUAUAAGCUCAAGAGUAAGGAUUGCUAAAAUCUAUAUAAGUAAUGAUUUUUAACAUGUCAUGUUUCAUUGGAAAUCCUUGAGGCAAUUGUUGGAAGGUUUAAGUUUUGUUUUGUUUUAUUUGUUUUGCUCGGGAAUAAGCAAAAGCUAAGUGUGGGGGAAUUUGAUAGGAGCAUAUUUAUGCGACUUUGUUAUCUUAUUUCUUUGCAUUUACUUAGUUAAUUUUCAUUUAUUUUGGUAUUAUUGUAGGUCCAGUUCGUAAAGAUGACAAUAAAUAGCUAAAUGGAGCAAUUUGGAGCAGUUUUGGACUUGGAUUGAAUAGCAUGCGUGUAUAGCAUAUGGGAUGGACGUUUUUGGUGUUUAAAUGGUGCUAAAUAUGUGCUAAAAUUUGGAGAAAUUAAAGUUGAGGCUUGGAAGGCAAAGAAUUACACAAGAAAGAGGAAUCCUAGUUGGAGAGGAACAUUACCUUAUCUUAUCUUAUCUAACAUUAUCUUAUCUUGUCUCCAGCUGCAAGGAGGAAUCCUAAUCACAUUCUAACACUUUCUAUCUAAUUUUUAGAGUCCUAAAAUAACUCAAAAAUACCAAAACCUUUUCCUCCUUGGAUUAAGCCAUUUUCGCCUAUAUAUAUGAAAUUCCUGCAGAGAUUUAGGGUGUGCCGUGCCUACCAUUCAUCCAUUGAAGUUGCUGGAAUUUUCUGAGUUCUUUCUUUCUUUGUUUUAAGUUUCAAUGUUUAUUUUAUAUUGGUUUUUAGUUAUGAUGAACAUGCGUAACUAAGUUUCUUUUUAGAUUGACCAUGAUCAUAUGUUUUAUAUAAAUUGAUUAGAUCCAGUUAUUGUUUCAUAAAACAUGAAUACGAUUUACUUAUCAGGUCUAUAAAGAACUUAUUCUUGUACACUUAGUUUGCAUGUAGGGAUUUGAUGCUAGAAUAUAAGGGAAUUUCACCUAAUCGUUAUGAACUUAUAUUUGCAAGUAGUAAAAAUCACUAGUCAUGAUUGAGUUAAGUAAAUUCCUGGCAGGAGUAUCAUGCUUUUCAUAGUUACAAAUGCUUUGUCAAUGCUUAUGAUUUUCAUAGAACUUAAUGAUCUUUGAGAUGCAUCUCUAUCAUGCUUUUCAUAGUUAUGGAACUUGAGAAGAAUAAUUUGGUUGCGUCGCUGAAUCCAAUUCAAUGAACUUAGGAAAAUCUGAGAAUUAAUUAGUGCUAUCCAUAGUUAAUUUGGAGCAUUGUCAUUCAUGGUUUAUAGGAAGAAUAACUGGAAAUUGAUUUGUAUGCAUAUGUUUCAUGUGUGGAGAAUAAUCCUUUAGCUAUCCUUUCAUCCAUAUUUCAUUCACAACUUAAUUUAUUUGCUGCACUUUAUUUUUGUUUUAAUUAAAUUCGUCCAAAAUCUCCCCCCUCAUUGUUUUAAUGUUAGUUUAAUUUAGUUUUCAGUUUUAUAAAUUUAGUUUGUGUUGAUUAGCAUCCCUUCUAAUUCCCGGAAUAGAAUGAUCCCUACUUACUUGUACUAUGAUUACAUAAUUUAUAGGGUUUAAUUUGUGUGUUAGUUUCUACCACAUCACUCCCAUAUGAAUGCUUAACAAAGAAACACUUAUCUUGUAUUUGAUAUCAUUGCAUGCCAUUAAUAUGUUUGUCCAAGAAUGAUGAUGCUUUGUUAUUCACUAAGAUCACAAUUUCAUUCACCCAUAUUUCAGACAUUUUAUCAAACAGUUGGAGGGCAUGUAUAAAGCCAACUCUAAUCUUCAAAAGGGCAGCACCCAAGGUAUCUAUGGACAUUCACCGAAAUUCGGAGGGUUAGUACCCAAGGUAUCCAUGGACGUUCACUGAAGUUCGGGGGAUUAGCUGACCCUCUACCCCUCAAUGCAUCUGCCAUUGAGUUUAGUAGAAUGCUUGUGUAUUUUAAAGUGUAUAUUCUUUUGGUAUUUGAAAUUGGGUACUAGGAGGAAUAUCCUGCAAAUAAAAAUUAACUGUGCACGUUAGACUAGUCAAAUAAUGAACUAGUCAACUAGUUACAAGUUAGUUAGUGAUACAAAGUGCAAUUGUAACAAUGAAACAUAACUGACAAAUAUGUUCAAUUAAUUAGAUUAUGCCCCGACUAGUUUCACAACAGUAAUUCCUAAGCUUGAACACAUUUACAUAUCGGUUCAUUAUGCAAACAAUGAUAACAAAGCAAUUAUGAAUUAAAGUAUGCUGGAUUGACUAGUCAAGCUCACCAGUUAACUAAGUACAUAUUCGUCAGUUAAUCAAACACAAAUCUACGAAUCAAACUUAGUUCACGAUGAGUUAUCUUAGUCAACAACAAAUCAGUUCAUUCCUCAUAAUAUGCAGUGUAAACUUAGUCUUUAACACAUAUCAGAUACUAAUUCAUAGGAUGCUUGAAACAUAUGCAAGUAAAUAAGAUAUGUGGACAAGCUUAAGAGACAAAGAACGCAAGAAGUUUUUGGUCGGAAAAACCCACCUCUGGGUUAAAAAACUGGGGACUCUCCACUGAGUCCAAUCCACUAGUGAAAUCAAGAUUCUUACAAAGUAACCACACAAGCUCAAUUCCUAGAUCCUUACCUAUGGAGCAGCUUGUACCUUUGUGCAACCUUGCCUUUCACGAGAUGGAUUAUUUCGGUAUUCAUGAAGUGGCAGCUUUUCCUGGGCUCUUCACCUUGUGGCACCGAAAUCAAAUCAACUUAUGCAAAUGAUGUUAUGAUGAAGUUGAUGCAAAUCUGAAUUCGAUGUCUAGUCAGUUUCACCAGUCAAACACUUGAAAGAUGAAACCGACACGAAUCCAAAAAGAGGUCAAUUUAAAGAUUUGAAACUUGAAAAACUUGACCACCAAAUUAAAACAAAACCAUGAAGAUAAUGCUACCCUAAUAUGUAGUGAUUGGAUAUUUUAUGCAUGAACAUGGUUUUGUGGCUAGGGUUUCAAUGAAGAAUACAAGAGGUAGCUCAAAGCUAAAAUCAACUCUUUUUUGAAAAUGUAAAACUCCUAGCAACAAAUGAGCAUAUAAAACGAAUUUAAGUAAGCAAUUUCAAAGAUAGGUUUAGAAAUAUCCAAUGAAGAACAAUACCCAUAAAAUAUGCUUGAUGCUCCUAGGAGAUCUACGAUAGAGAUGAAAAAUAAAGCUUUAAAAAAAAUUCCAAUCUCAAAUCCCAAAAACCAAAUGAACCCUAGAUUGGUCUUUAUAAAGAGGGCUGAGUUUCAAACAAGAAAGGGGACAAGAAAAGCCAUGUGUCUAGCUCGCGUGAAAGUAGUGAGAAGUUUUGACAAGAUAGAACCACUAGACAGAAUGUACUGGAAAUAAUGACAUGAAAUGCAUAUGAAUGAACAAACCUUUGAUGAGAGUAGUUAAGCUCUUGAGAUGAUAUUUCCAGGAGCAAUAUCCCAAAGUAGCAUUUAAACCCUAAAUCUAAGUAGAGCAUGUGUGGUACAAUUUACAACAUUUGACAAGGGAAGCCAAACAAUAAAACUAGACUUCACAAUCUCCCUCUUUGGCUUUCCUUGACAAAAUAACUCAAACUCUAUAACAAAAUUCACUCAACCUCACACAAGAGAACCCAAAGGACGAAUCCUGCAAAGAAGUAUUCUUGACAAGAACAAGUGAAAAGUUAUCACGGUUAAAGUAAUUGUAAGGAAGUAAAUUGCUUUGCAUUGAACAUGAUUGCAACACAACUCAAAUUUUCAAAUUUAAUUUUUCUCUCCUAUUUUGUCAUGGCAAAGACAAAGAUCUAAAAUGAAUGAUAUGCCAAUUCAAUUAAACAAAAUACAUGAUAUGUUUAUCAAGCUCAUGAAUGAAAUGUACAACCACAAACGAAAAGCCAAUAAGAACGAACAUUCAAAAUUAGGCACAAGGUUCACAUUAUAGCAUGGCAACACAAGAAAGACCAAUAAAUGAUUUUGCAGUAAUAGUAAGAAAUCCAAGGACACAAGUACAAUAAGAGCAAGAUAGUCAACGCAAACCAUAAAGGUACAAUUCUCAGUGCUAAGACAUUUAAAGCAAGUUGCUUGUCCAAAGAAAUUGUUAAAAAACAACCCACAACAAAGAAUUACACCAGGAGUAUCUUAAUCAAGGUACAUCAGAAGAGAGGUUAAAAAACAACGCCAAAAUAGGUCAAGUUUGCCUAAUAAAAUUUGAACUCCCCCAUAAUUUGUACUCUCCUAGACCCUAACUCCCCCAUAAACCUCAAAGUCUACAGACUAAGUGGCGACAUCAGAACGAAAAAAUUAAAAUUUUCAGCAAAUACAACAUGCAAGGAUAGCAAAAGCAUAGCAGAUAACGAAUAGUAAUAGAUCAUGUCAGUACACCUAAGCAAAGUGUAGCAAAAAUUAAGCACAAGUAAUUGAACCAACUCUGCCACAAAGGAUGUAUGUGAUAUAAAUGAACUCCCACAAAAAUGAUGCUCUUCAUACAAACAAACUCUCCUAGAAACCAAGAUCACGGCUUGAAACAUGCAGUAACAUAGAUACCCUUAAAAGAUUUCACCUUUCUGACGAGGGAUAGUGACUCAGCAGAAAGGGAAAAUGUCCAUUUACAACCAGAUUUGUGCAUAUGCCUGAAACAAUUUACUCAAACAUAUUUGUUUAAACACAUAAAAUGAUAGAGAACAUGAUGACAAUUGUAAUCAUUGCACCAAUAAACAAUAGUAAAACCACAAGCCAUGAAGGGAAUAAGAAAAAGUAGUUUGAGAACCUUUUGGAAAGUAUGGACCGAACAAUCAAAUAUCUAAAGGGCACAUCAGAGAGGGCAUAGCAUGCAAAACUUUUGGCAACAACAAGAAUGAAAUUUCCAUUGUUUAAGGUAUAACUUGGAGGCUUGACAUUUGGACAGAGGAACAGUGGGGUUCUGAUAGGCUUGACGGUGGUAGGCUUCUAUGUCAUAGCGACAAGUGAAUAACUCAGAAUGAUGCAUACUAGCAGCGAAUGUGAAAAUGAAUCCCUAGAGAUGUUAGAGAAGGUAAAUGCGUAGGAUACCAUGAAGAGAUCUGAACUGUAAGAAGGACAUGAAUGGUUGAGAUGAGGAGGUUAAAACAUAAAGUGCAAUGACAUACAUGCCCUUAAAAAUAUUCACUUUUAUGACAAGAACCAGUGACUCGUCAGAAGAGGAAACUGUCCAUUUUGAAAAUAGAUAGUGCAAAAUCUUACAAUAAUGAAAUCAACUAAUUUGGACACCACCAAAAACCAUGAGAGAAAACAGGAGAACACCAUGAUCUUAGCACCAAUAAGCCACAACUAACUAGACAAUCGACAAAGAAGAUGAGUGAAUGAACAACUCCAAUAUCUAUGCUUCCAUGAGAAGGAACCAAAAAAAGUAAUGACUUAAAAUUAAACAUGCAAUGCAAUUUUCAAAUAGCAAGUCUUUAAGAUCACACAUGGACAGUAAAACAUAGAUUAACACAAGCUCAUAGUGCAACUGUGAUGUGCCAAGGUAGGGUAAUAAGAUUGGUGAUAGCCAUCUUUAAAUCAAAACUCCAAACCACUAAACUCAAUAUUAAUUCAGAGGCUAACCAAACUUUUAAUAAUCUAUUGAGUUUAAGAAACAACACUUACAACAUAAAUCGAACAAGGAGCAAAACACAAAACUAAGCACAAGGAAAAAAGCCAAAGCCAUAUGAAACUUUAAGAUGGCAUAUGGCAAUAAGGUACACAAGUCAUUUGAUAUGAUUGAUGCAAAAAAUAUUUGAGGCACCCCAAGAACCUUUUGGGCUUUUAAGACAAGUGGAAAUAUUUGAUGACCUAUGACAUUGCAAUGGAUAACACUUUUGAAGGAAUGAGAGAUUGAGAUUCACCUUCUUGAAAUUUUUGAAAAAAGUGCUCAUAACUGAUGAUUUUGAGGUUCAUAUUUAUGAUUUUAUUUUAAGGAGCACUGAGCAAGAACCUAAGAGAUAAACUAGUGGUGUUUUGCACUGGAAUUGAUACUAAGUUCAAUUUAUAGAGUAAGUAAUGCCACUACACCUCAAUUAAAACCAAAGUAAGCCUAACCUCUAAAUCAACACAAGUUUUUGUUAAAUGAAACGAUGAUUCUUCAGAGGUUAUUAGCCACACUAGGGGGAACCUUUGACAUCAUAGUGGAAAUAUUAUCCAAGGUUGUUGGAGCAUUUAUGUUUUUAUUUAAAUAUUCAUAUACAUUUUGUUAAAAAUAUUAAGUAUAUAAUUGUUAAUUGUUAUUAACCUUAUCAGUUAAUAAGGAGUAAUUGGUACCACAUAAAUAUGUUUUCAGAUUCCUUCUAUGUAUAGAGAAGAAGAACAAGUCUUUAUCCAUAAUCCUUCCAUAAUCAUUCCGUAUUUAUUUAUUUUUUCCGUUUUGGAUCUCGUCCAUUUUAAUUUUUCUUUAUGAUUUCCAACUGUUCAAGAACACUAGUGAUAAUGUUAAACAAUCUGAGUAUGCAAGUAUUAUUGGUAGCCUUCAUUAUGCUACUGAUUGCACUAGGCUUGAUAUAUCUUAUGUCGUAGGAGUUUUAUGUAGGUUUACUAGCAGACCUAGUUUGGACCAUUGGAAUGCUAUAGAGAGGCCUAUGUGAUACCUUAAAAGGAAGAUGAAUUUCAAAUUACACUAUGAGAAGUUUCCCGCUGUCCUAGAAGUUUACAACGACAUUGAUUGGAAUACCCUUUCAGAUGACUCUAAAGCCACUAGUGGAUAUAUUUUUAGUAUUGGUGGUGGGGCUGUGUCAUGGAAGUCUAAGAAACAGACUAUCUUGGCUCAGUCUACUAUGGAGUCAGAAUUAAUAACGCUAGCUACGGUAAGAGAAAAAGCAGGAUGGUUGAGAAACCUAUUGUCAGAUACCCCUUUAUGGGAGAAACCGAUUCCAACAGUUUUGAUCCAUUGCGAUAGCACAACGGCGAUAGCUAAAGUGCAGAACUGUUAUUAUAACGGGAAAAUGCGACAAAUACGUCGUAAGCACUGCACUGUAAGAGAUUAUCUCACUAAUGGAGCUGUAAGAGUGGAUCAUAUACGCUCUGAAGAAAACUUGGUUGAUCAUUUGACGAAAGGACUAGCACAAGAAAAGGUUUGGAAAACCUCGGAAAUGAUGACACUAUAGCCCUUAGAAAUUUGAGUCAUUUGUGAUAGCAACCCAACUUAUAGACUGGAGAUCCCAAGAAAUAGGUUUAAAGGGUAAUAACAAGUUACAAGUGAUAUGAGUGAAGUCUUGUUAAUUUUAAUUUGGAAUAUUAUUCCAUGUCCAUCCCUUAAGAAGCAUGACAUCCUGAAGCGUUUUUAGGUUGAGAUUUUUUUUUCUCUUAGUAAGGUCUAUACUCUAUGUUGAGUGGGAUAUUUAGCUGCAUGAAUAUCCUUGAUAGUCUCACCUAUGUGAAUGUGGAAGUGAGGCCACUUCCUAUGAAAUUUUUGUUGGAAAUGUGCCCUAAAGCCAAUCAUAUGAUGAUACUUUACGGACGUUUCACAUGUUAAACUAAUCUAGUUUAAUAUAAAGGGAAAAUAUUAUUGUUUGAAGCUGUCUCAUAUAAAUGUUAUAUGCUUAUACGAUAAGUCCAAGGAAUAUGUAAUUGGGAGAAUGUGAUCUAAAGAAGUUAGAUUCAUGAGACCAUUCUCUUUCAUAUACAUAUCAUAAACGUUCAUGAUCAUAUCAUUGCCAAUUGGGCAUUAAUAAUCCUAUAAGAUCAGUACGUGAUAUGUCUUCUCUUAGGGAGAGUGAUUGGUCUCGAGUCAUUGGUGUGACUGACACCAAGACAAGCAUGUAGGUGCUCAAUAGAGAAUGAGUCCACUGAACACGAUCAACAAGGAGUUCUCAAUAGAGAAUGCCUCAUGAUCCAUGAUUAGAUUCCACCCAAUACCAGUAAAUCCUAGAGAUCACUUUAAGUAUAUCAAGAGCAUGGCUCUGAUACCAAUUGAAAUUGGGUACUAGGAAGAAUAUCCUACAAAAAAAAAAAAAACUUUGCACAGUAAACUAGUCAAAUGAAGUAGUUAACUAGUUACAAGUUAGUCAGUGAUAUAAAGUGCAAUUGUAAGAACGAAACAUAACUGACCAAUACGUUCAACUAAUCAACGUCUGCCCAUAUUAGUUUCACAACAAUAAUUCCUAAGCUUGAGCACAUUUACAUAUCGGUUAAUUAUACAAAUAGCAAUAACAAAGCAAUUAUGAAUUAAAGUAUGCUGGAUUGAUUUGUCAAGCUCACCAGUUAACUAAUUACAGAUUCAUCAAUUAAUCAAACGCAAAUCUAUGAAUCAAACUUAGUUCACUAUAAGUUAUCUUAGUCAACAACAAAUCAAUUCAUUGCUUAUAAUAUGCAGUGGAAACUUAGUUUCUAACACAUAUCAAAUAAUAAUUCAUAGGAUGCAUGAAACAUAUGCAAGUAAAUAAGAUAUGUGGACAAACUUAAGAGAUAAAGAACGUAAGAAGUUUUUGGCCGGAAAAACCCACCUCUGGGUUAAAAAACCGAGAACUCUCCACUGAGUGCAAUCCACGAGUGAAAUCAAGAUUCUUACAAAGUAACCACACAACCCCAAUUCCUAGAUCCUAAUCUACGGAGUAGCUUGUACCUUUGUGCACCUUGCCUUUCACGAGAUGGAUUCCUCAGGUCUUUAUGAAGUGGCAGCUCCUCCUGAGCUCUUUACCUUGUGGCACUGAAAUCAAAUCAACUAUUCAAAUGAUGUUAUAAUGAAGUUGAUGCAAAUCUAGAUUCGAUGUCUCGUUAGUUUCACCAGUCAAACACUUGAAAAAUGAAACCGACGCGAAUCCAAAAAGAGGUCAGUUUAAAGAUUUGAAACUUGAAAAACUUGACCACCAAAUUAAAACAAAACCACGAAGACAAUGCUACCCUAAUAUGUAGUGAUUGGGUGUUUGAUACAUGAACAUGAUUUUAUGGCUAAGGUUUCAAUGAAGAACACAAGAGGUAGCUCAAGGCUAAAAUCAAUUAUUUUAUGAAAAUGUAACUUCUAGCCAAAACAAAUAAGCAUAUAAAAUGAAUUUAAGCAAGCAAUUUCAAAGGUAGGUUUAGAAAUAUCCAAUGAAGAACAUUAACCAUAAAAUAUGCUUGAUGCUCCUAGGAGAUCUGAGAUGGAGAUGAAAAAUAAAGUUUUCAAAAAAUUUCCAAUCUUAAACCCUAAAAACCAAAUGAACCCUAGAUUGGUCUUUAUAAAGAGGGUUGAGUUUCAGACAAGAAAGGGGACAAGAAAAACCACGUGUCAUGUGCAAGAGCAAUAUGGAAAGAUCUAGGGUUGAAAAUCUAUUUCUGGGAAAAAGUUAUCAGAUGAUCCAUGUGGGUUGUCUUAAAGUGUGUGCCUAGCUCGCGUGAAAGCAACGAGAAGUUUUGAUGAGACAGAACCACUAGACAUAAUGUACUGGAAAUAAUGGCAUGAAAUGCAUAUGAAUGAACAAACCUUUGAUGAGAGAAGUUAAGCUCUUGAGAUGAUACUUCCAGCAACAAGAUUCCAAAGUAGCAUUUAAACCCUAAAUCUAACUAGAGCAUGUGUGGUACAAUUUAUAACAUUUGACAAGGAAGCCAAGCAAUAAAACUAGACUUCACAUUAUUUCUCUAAUCUUUGCAAGAAUACAAAAAAGACUAUUGUCAUUCAUCCCGAUCACUGUAGUACUUUUCAAAAUCAAGUCUAAUUAUUUCAAACUUGUUAAUGGUGACCAACCGUACAUAGGCUUACUAUCAUCAGGAGAAGACAUGCAAACUUAUUCAUUAGGCGGAGUCUUCGACAAUACGCUAAAAUUGACAUAUAAGUGAUUGUUCUCUUUUUUACUUCAACUAGGUUUUUAUCCCACUGGGGAUUUCCUCACAAGGUUUAAGUGAGGUAACAUUAUGCUUGUCCAACACCUUAUCAAUGUCGUCUAAAUUUUGCUCGGUUUUUGUCCUUCGUUUUGGUUUUGUCCCACUGGGUUUCCCAAGCAAGGUUUUAUCGAGACAACUACCAUUGAUUGGUGAACAAGUGUUAUAAAUAAUAUUUAUUAUGUGGUUGUUCACAUUCUGGGUCAAUAUGUAAUAUCUCAACAGUUGAGCUCUUUUCUAUGUAAAUACUAUGCCCUCUUACGAGAAGGAACACACUUUGAUUUCUCCUUCCCAAUCUCUUAAAAUUUAUCUUUAUAUAUAUAAUUUAACGUACAGGUAAAAAGAGCAUAAUUGGAGUUCUCUCAUUGUUUUUCAUUUGUCGAUCUCUACUUAUGAUUUGAUGGGCCAUUCAUAGAAUUGUUUUUAUAUGCCUGCAUCAAUAAGAUUUUCACAUUUUUUGUAUGAAUUAUGUUUCUUAUACAAAUAGAUAUCCCCAUGUUCACAGUCAUUGUGAUUUAGGGUUAGUUUGGGAUUGCAGUGCUUUUUUUUAAACUGCUUCAACUGUGCUUUAAGAAUAAUUAGCUGUAAAAUUAUAGUAGUUAAGUGUUUGAUAAUUUGUAUUUUUUAUUUUAAAAGUAUUGUGAGUAUGAAAAGCAGUGUAAAAGUAUUUGGUAAAUUAAAAAAAAUAUAUAAUUGUGUUAUAAACUUCUUAUUUAAGUGUGAUUAUGUAAAUCCUAGAUUAGAUUUGAUUCUAGUUAUUCUUCCCUAUUAGGACUUGUAUUCCUUGGAGGAGAAGGAUUUCUUCCUUCACUUAGUACUAUAAAUAAAGACACUACGUAGGGGAAUAACACAUCCUCUACACAACCCUACAAACACAUCUCUCUCUCUCUCUCUAUAUAUUUUCUCUGUGCAGUCGGCCUUAUCUCCUUGUCAGUUAAAUAUAGGCCACAACACGUUAUCAGCACGCUCCUACCGCUGCGCUUAGGAAUAUCACGUAGAUUUUUUUUUGUAUCAAACCAGUUUAUCAAUAUCAUCAUGCAAUCAGGUUCUUUCAAAACAACAGUUUUUAUCUCGAUAUUUUUUCAGCCCUGAAAGCAUGAACAUUCACCAUAAGGCAUGAACCAACUUUAUGUUUUCCAAAUUUUAGAUUGAACAUAAAUUGUGUAUGCAUUAUAUUCAUAAUUGUUGAAUUAUGUGAAUUGAUAUUGCCAUGAAUUGCAUCAUAUAUCUGCUCAUGCAUUAAAUUAUAUAUUGAAUAUGCAUGAAAUUGAAUUAAAUUUAUAAUCUGGAAUUAAGAAAAACAAAAUAAAAAAUUAGGGUUUCUCAUGAAACCCAUCCCAUCACCACCUUACCGCGAGCUGCUGGCUUCUAAGCCACACCGCAUUAAGCCAUCAGCACUAUGCUUGCAGUUUGAAACCCAGAAAAACCCGACCAUUUCCAUGGCAUCUCCACUAUCAUAGGUGGGCCUGCAACCCAACCUUGACCAAGGGUGGCCUAAAGCUUGUCCAUCGACGUAGAUUGACCAAGAUUCCUUUGAAUCUCGUCGGAUUUUUUGAAAUUCCGAUUUGAAAUUCUAGGGUUUUUGGUUGAAAUGUUGAGAUUUUUUUGUCUCUAUUCAUAUUCGUGAUCCCGUUGACCCACAAAUUUGCCCAGAGAAUUUUUGUCCCAAAACACAACCGCCUGAAGUUACGAUGGCGAUCUUCUUUCUCGGUGAGCGCACCCAGCUACGGCUGGGGUGUUUUUUGGUUCAAACCCAACCCAAUUAGGACUUGGUUACUCUCGACCCAAAAUUAAAACCUAUUUUUGGUUUUAGGGCUUGAACAUUAAAGCCCACACUCAGCCCAAUAUGACACCAGCCUGUAGGGCUAUGAUGUCCCCAUGCUUGAAACUGCACUUGAUUCCAGCUCGUAGCUGGUGACUCGAUGCAUCUGCACCGUUACACACUCGAUCACAGCUCUGCAUAGCUAUGGUGGUCCUAUGUACCGUGACCCACAUGAUUACGUCCCCCCCCGAGUACAUGUGCUCUGCAAAGCACCAGAUCAGCGCCCUAUCUGGGCCUAUGUUUUUUGGCCCAACUUCUUUCUUUUCUUGCAGCCCAUUUGCUGCCAUUGGGCUUGCAACCCCUUAGCCUGAUCAGCCCAUUCCAACCCAUUUUUCUGGGCCUGGGCUGCACGGUCUUAGUUUACUUAGCCCAAUUGUGGGUUUUUAGCCCAUGUUUUAGGCCCCAGCUCAAUUGUUUAUUUCUUUUAGACAAUUUGGGUUUUAUAAUUUUUCACCCACACUUUCAUUUUGGCCCGAAGUCCAAAUAAUUAAUUUAAUUACUAUAAUAGACCCUGAAGAUCUAUUUGCAUAUUUUCUUAUUGCACAUUUCUGUAUAAAUAUCUGUGUUUGUUCGUAGGAACAUAUGAACUGUAAGUUCAUAAUUAUUUCGAAACCUAAAGUUUCUAGAAACAUGCCUUGUUUGAAAACCUGAAGUUUUCCUUAAAAACAUCACCCAUGAAAACCGGAAGCUUUUCAUGUAAAUUUAAACCAAUACAUGUCUAUUAGAACCUGAAUGUUCUACUCCUAUAUGAAUGGAUUGAUUUUUUCUCCAUUACACUAACCACAUUCUUGUCCAUUUAUUUUGUGAUAGAGACAUGUCGAAUUUGAACAAACUCGACUUCACAGCUUUAGAGGUAUCUAGAAGAAACUACAUUAAGUGGGUCCAAGAUGUGAAGCUCCACCUCAUCACAAAGAAUUUGUGUCCCACCAUUGAAGAUGAGACAAACAACCUGGUUAGCGAAGCUAAGAAAGCCACUGCCAUGAUCUUCAUUUGAAGACGAAGACAUAUUCAUGAUGCAUUGCAAACCGAGUACCUUGUUGAGGAAGAUCCAAGAGCACUUUAGGUCGCUUUGGCUGAUCGCUUUGGUCACCAAACUGACAUCUUCUUGCUUGAAGCAAAACAUGACUAGUAACAUAUGAGCUUCCAAGACUUUAAGUCUGUGAAUGAAUAUAAUUCUAAAGUUUGUUAAAUCCGAUCACUUCUCAAGUUCUGUAAUGAGAACUUGACCAAAGAGGAUCUUUUGGAGAAGACUUAUUCGACCUUAUCUGCCACUAAUAUUGUCCUACAUUAACAAUAUAGGGCUUAUAAGUUCACCAAGUUUUCGGAUUUGAUCUCUGUCUUACUUCUCGCUGAAAAGCAGAAUCAGCUGUUGAUGAAAAAUCAACAAGCUUGACUUACUAGGGGUGACUACUGUCCAUCAAGCACAUUAUAACACAAACCAACAUCCAAAAUGCCAACAUAGGCAUGGUAAGGGCGGCCAUAAGCUACCCUGUCAAGGUCAAUAAAGCCAAGGCCCAACUAAGGGAGGAAACCGAGCCCAAAAGUGCCACAACCUCUCUCCCAAGGCCCCCAAACUUCAAGAAUAAGGGCAAAGCACCUGAAACCAUGGAUGCAGAUAUGUGCUAUUGCUGUGGUUCAAAUGACCAUUGGUCCUAUGUUUGCUGAGCUCGUAAGAAGGUUGUAGCUAAAUAUCAUUCUUGUCGUACGAAGUUUAAAUCAAACUUUGUGCAAGUGGAUGCAGGGGCGGAUGGACUAUAGGACCACAGUAGUCCUAGGCCCACCUUGCUUUUGUUUAUAAAAAAAAUUAGUACUACUUAUUAUUUUUAUUAUUUUUAUCACUUUUUCAUGACUUUCACUUAAAUCAUUCCAAUUUUCUAGACAACAUAUCCGGCCCUCUUUAAAUAUUUUAAGAAUAUUUAUGUAAUCUAGUCUAACCUUAAACCCUACCUAUUCCAACUUCCAACACUUUCAUUCCUUUUCCCAAUACUAAAAAUUAGUAUUUUUUUACUCUUUAAGUUUCUUUCUAGCCCUAGCCGACUACUGCUAGUCUGAAAAAAUAGUCAGAACAGUACAUCAGUCUAUUAUUUUCUAGACAACAUAGCCGACUGCUGCUUCUCUCAUCUAUAGCAUGUCACAAUCUUCAAUCAACCUAUCAUUCUAUUAUUCUUCAAUAAUUCAAUUUCCAUGAUCCUCAAAGGUAUAACUUCGAAUCUCCAAAGUUGUCAUUUUCAAUUAAUUCAUAUAUGUUGUUAUCUACCACAAUUGUAAAUUAAUUUAACAAAUAUUUUUUUUUUUGCAGAUUAAAGAAUUCCAUUAUUCCAUCAUUCCAUCAAAAAAAGACAUUGAAGUUUAGUUAAUUGGUCAACAACCCAAAGUAUGUAUUUUACUCUCAAUUCCUGUUACAAUUUUUUGUUUAUAAAUUAUGAUUAAAUUGAUGUCUUGCAAUUUCUCUUAACUAUCGCCUAAUUUGUUUUAGUUUGUAAAAUUAGCAUAUAUGUUCAUAUUUCUUUUAAUUUAAAGUUAGUCAAUCUAUGUUUUUUUACUUUUCAGUUAUGGAAAGAUAUUUCAAAAGAAAAACACAACCUGAGAUAUUAGAACCGUCUUCAAAGAGUCCAAAGAACAAUGAAAGUAGUUCAAAACAAACUUGUGUGGAUUCUAUGGAAAUUAACUCAGAAACUCUCCAAUAUGAUCCUGGAUUGCGUAGACCGAUUUUGAGUUAUCAUUCUAAUGUUCGAGACCAAGUUCGAAGACCUUAUCUCUAAAAUAAACCUUGUCAACCAAAAACCCAUACAUUUCCCUACACAAAUUUUGGGACAAAGCCUAGAAGGUUCAAUCCUGCUUGGUUUACUCAGUUCCUAAUUGGUUGGAGUAUAGCACAUCACAGGAUGCUGCCUAUUGUUUAUGUUGUUAUCUCUUCAAACCUGAUAUUGGAGAUCAAUGUGGUGGGGAUACUUUUGUUGGAGUCGGAUUCAAGAAUUGGAAGUGCAAGAAGAAACUAGAAAUUCAUGUUGGAGGACCUAAUAGUUCUCAUAAUAAUGCUUGGAGAAACUGUGAAGCCUUAUUAAACCAAAAGCAACAUAUUGAAACAGUUAUCUCAAAACAAACUGACCAAGAUCGAAUUAAUUAUCGAACUCGAUUAGGUGCAUCAGUUGGUGUUAGUAGAAUUCUCUUACAACAAGGUCUUCCAUUUUGUGGGCAUGAUGAAUCUGAAAAUUCACUCAACCAAGGAAACUUUCUUGAAAUUCUACGGUGGCUACGUCAUUAUAAUGAGGGUAUAAAGGCUGUCACGCUAGAAAAUGCUCCUGAAAAUUUGAAAUUGACAUCACCUGAUAUUCAGAAAGACAUCUCAAGUGCUAUUUCGUAUGAAAUCAUCAGUGCAAUCACUAGUGAUAUUAAUGAUUCUUUAUUUUCCAUUCUUGUUGAUGAAUCACGAGACAAGUCUUCAAAGGAGCAAAUGGCCAUUGUAUUGCGCUAUGUGGAUAAGGGUCAUGUGAUAGAGCGCUUUGUAGGUAUUGAGCAUGUUGCAGAUACUAAAGCUUCCUCACUCAAGUUAGCCAUUGAUGAUUUCUUUUCUAGACAUGGAUUGAGCAUAUCAAAAUUGCGUGGGCAAGGCUAUGAUGGGACAAGUAAUAUGCAAGGUGAGUUCAAUGGCCUUAAAGCACUAAUUUUAAAUGAGAAUGAGUCUGUCUUUUAUGUUCAUUGUUUUUCUCAUCAACUUCAAUUAGCUCUAGUAGCAGUGGCAAUAAAAAAUUCAGAAAUUGGAGAUCUCUUUACUAUGGUUUCUUCUGUGUUGAAUGUUGUGGUGGCAUCUUCUAAGCGUCGUGAUAUUCUUAGAGAGAAACAUGCUCAUGUAGUUUUGGAAGCACUAGAAAAUAACGAGCUUUCAAGUGGACAAGGUUUGAAUCAAGAAACUACUCCUAAGCAGGCUAGUGACACGCGAUGGAGCUCUCAUUAUAAUUGUUUAAUCAGCUUGGCUCACAUGUUCUCAUCAACGAUAGACGUGCUUGAGAUUAUAAGAAAAGAUGGAACAAGUUCUAAACAAAAAUUUGAAGCAAAGGUUCUAUUGACUUUUAUUCAAUCUUUCAACUUUAUUUUUGGUCUACACUUGAUGAAAAAGGUUUUGGGGAUCACAAACGAUUUAUCACAGGCAUUGCAAAAGAAGGAUCAAGAUAUUGUGAAUGCAAUGAACUUGGUCAAUAUAUGCAAAGGAAGAUUGCAAAGGAUGCGAGAAAGUGGUUGGGAAUCCUUAUUUGAUGAAGUUUCAUCCUUUUGUGACAAGAAUCGUAUUAAAAUUCCUAGCAUGGAUGAUAUUUUUACAAGUGGAGAGCGACCAAACCGAAAAGCUCAUCCCAUCACAAACGUGCACCAUUAUCGGGUUGAUUUAUUCACCGAUGUCAUAGAUAAACAACUCACUGAGUAAAAUGAUCGAUUUACUGAGAAGAAUACUGAACUACUUCUUUGUGUGGCAUGUUUAAGUCCAAGUAAUUCUUUCUCUGCCUUUGACAAAGAAAAAUUGAUGCGUCUUGCCCAAUUUUAUCCAAGUGAUUUUUCAGAGCACGAUCUUGAGUUACUCAAAGAACAGCUUGAGAAUUAUAUUUGGGACAUGACCUCUAAUAGUGAGUUUGCAGAUUUGAAAGGAAUUAGUGAUCUUGCACAAAAGAUGGUUGGAACCAAGAAAGAUCAUACUUACCCGUUAGUGUACUUGCUUUUGACACUUGCACUCAUCUUACCGGUUGCAACAACAAGUGUAGAGUGAGUCUUUUCUGCUAUGAACAUUGUUAAGAACACCUUACGCAAUCGAAUGAGUGAUUUGUGGAUGAACGAUUGUUUGGUUGCUUAUAUUGAAAAGGAUAUUUUUAAUAGUAUAGAGGAUGAGGCUAUCAUGCAAUGGUUUCAAAAUAUGAAAACUCGUCGAGCACAAUUAUUUUAAUUAUUGGGAAUAUGUAAUAUUAUCAAUGUUAUGUUGUUUUCAAUUUUGGUUACUUUUCAUAUAUAUACUAUGAUGUUUUGGUUAACAGUUUUGUAACUACUAUUGAUUUAUUUAUUUUUUAAUAUUUGUGAGGGGCCCCUCCUAACCCGAAAUCCUGGCUCCGCCACUGAGUGGAUGAACAAGAGAGUACCAAGAUAAAGGUUUCUAACUUUCAGUAGGUUACCACCCCUAUGGAGGAUUAUAAUCUUAUAUACAAACUAUUUUUUUUAGUUGAAUUUGCAACAAUGGGGCCGAAUUCCACAUAGUGGCCAAACCCCCCUAUUUAUUUUUUUUGUUUAAUUUUGCACAAUUUUCCUUUAUGUUUGGAUUAUUUGUUGAUGAUUUUUUUUUGGAUAUUAAGUUUUAAUUCAUUAUCAUCCUUGAAUACUUAAACUAUUUUGAUUGAUAUUUGUUUUUAGAACUUUUAUGCAUGUGACCGAUUCAAAUUAAUUUUAUUUCUAGGUAUGAUAAGUGGGAAAGUUUGUUGUCUGGCAAAUUGUGCAACCACACACACAAUUUUGCAUGAACGCAUCUAUUUCACUAACUUCAUACCUAAGAAUGCACCUCUAGCAACCCUCUCAGGACCAUUUAACUUGAUCAAAGGAUACGGUAAGGCACAUAUAAUGUUAUCCAAUGGUACAAUCUUGACCAUUGAUGAGGCAUUAUAUUCUCCACGUUCUGGAAGAACGUUAUUGAGUUUCAAGGACAUUAGAGAUAAUAAUUACCACGCUGAAACCUAUAUAGAAAACGGAGUUGAAUUUCUGUGCAUAACUUCUUAUGAAUAUGGCCAGAAGCGUAUUCUAGAAAAGAUGGAGCGUAACCUGAAUUGUCUGUAUACUACGACCUUACACCUUAUAGAAAGCCAUUAUGUGGCCGACCCUACCUCAGGGACCGUGCACAAAAUUACACUUUGGCAUGAUCGUUUGGGACACCCUGGACGAAUAGCAAUGUGCCGUAUCCUCAAAUCAUCACGUGGGCAUCCACUGACCUGAAGUUUAGGUUCGAUUCAAGGAAUUGCAUGCCAAACAUGCUCAAUGGGAAAGCUUAUUAUUAAGCCUUCUUAUGAAAAGAUUAACUUGAAUCCUCUUAAUUUUCUACAAAGGAUUCAGGGGGACAUUUGUGGACAGAUUCACCCUCCAUGCGGACCAUUUAGAUAUUUUAUGGUUUUGGUUGACGCCUCUACACGUUGGUCACACGUGUGCUUGUUGUCCACAAGGAACGCUGCAUUCUCCAAACCUUUGGCUUAGGUUAUCAAGCUCAGGGCUCACCACCUUGAUUAUCCGAUUAAAUCUAUUCGAUUGGAUAAUGCUCGAGAAUUCACAUCUAAAACUUUUGAUGACUAUUACAUGUCUGUUGGGGUUGAAGUUGAACAUCUAGUACCCCAUAUUCACACCCAUAACGGCUUUGCAGAGGCAUUCAUUAAGCGCUUACAAAUGAUUGCUCGAUCGUUGGUCAUACGUGCCAAGCUCCUGAUCGCUACUUGGGGCCAUGCAAUAUUACAUGCAGUUAUGUUGGUCUGCUUGAGGCCUGUUGUGACCAAACCAUAUAGCGUUUUCCAGUUGGUUACAGAAUACAAACCCAACAUAUCACAUCUGCACGUUUUUGGUUGUGUGGUCUAUAUGCCGAUUUCAUUGUCCUUACGUAAAAAAAUAGGGCCUCAACGAAGGAUGGGAAUCUAUAUUGGAUAUUAUUCUCCUUCGAUCAUUCAUUGCUUAGAACCUUUGACAGGCGAUCUAUUUACCACUCGUUUUGCAGAUUGUCACUUCUAUGAGAUAGUCUUCCAGUCAUUAGGAGGAGAUAAAAACGUCAACGUUCUUGAAGAACGACAUGAAUUAUUGUGGAUGACUCCUACAUUGUCUGAAACUGAAGUGAUCUUCAGAGUGUACCACAGAGCAUGCCAAAUGUUUUCACUGAUCUAGUGCGAGUGACAAGAUCACAUAUUCCAGCUGCGAAUGUGCUUGUAAAGAUGGAUGUAGCAAAUGUAAUACGGACUUUACUCCUAGAGGCCUGGGACGCCACUUUGGCUGAUCCACGUACAUUAAUAGCUAACCAAUCAUCUGUCCCUACACAAAAGCAUGGCAGACCUCUUAGUUCAAAGGAUUCACACCUCUGAAAGAGGAAACCCAUGACAUAGGCCCUUGAAGAGCCUACCAUGAAUCUGACUGUCGCCUACUCAUUCUAUCCAACCCAUGAGGAAAUUCUAGAUUAUGGAAGCAUCCUUGAAAAGACGAAUCCACCUCCCGAGAAUUGUGAGAUUUCGGUCCAUUAUGCUAGCUUGGAUGAUGUUUGGUGUAGAAAUGAGAUGAUCAUCGACGAUGCAUUAACAUAUGCAGUAGCUACUGAGAUCAUGUUGAUUGAUGACAUUGAACCCCAUUUAGUUGAUGAAUUUCGACGUAGAACUGAUUGGUCAAACUGGAAACAAGCAAUCCAAGUUAAACUCGAUUCACUUGCAAAACGUAAGGUGUUUGGACUGUAGCUCUUACUCCUCUACAUGUUUUGACCCUCAAAUUCUUGAGUCGGCCUUAUACUCUGGAGGAAACCAGGAAACCCUCCAGCCCAGUUCAAGAAUAAGCUUGUGGAAAGUUACUUCUUUAAAAGCAAAAGUAUCUCAUAUCAUCUGUUCUCCAUUUGCUUCUCCUUAUCCUUGUUUCUGUUUACGACAUAAGGAGAAGGAGAACAAUCAACCGGAAGCCGAAGUCGAACCUCCGAUCCAGGUUGCUUGCUUGGAAGUCUGAAUGCUUACCUUGUCUGUUACCUCUUUCGGCAAAUCUCCUAGCUCGGCGACUUGGGGGACUCCUAUUCUAGGGUUUUGUAUCGCACUUGACCAAGCCCGAAACUACAAGUAAGCUUCAAGUGAAAUUGAUACAUUACCUUGUGCAUCUUCAUCGGUUAAAGAUACCACCCCUGGAUGGAGGAAAAGUACUUCCAGAGAAGAUGCCACAUCUACGUAUGAGAUAGACAAGGUAAGUGAAAAUGAUACCACACUUCGGUACUUAGAAGUUUCGUGAUUACUCAAUGGCUUGGAUCUUGCAAGUCCCCAACCGAGGAGCUUCCCUCACUCGGGAACUUAGGGGAGCACUAUUUGUAUCAUACUUGACCAAUCCCGAAACUACUGAGUACCGGUCAACAUUACACCGUCAAGAACCCAUAAGAGUUUCCCUCCAACCAGAAGGUUAAUCACAGCACGACACGUGUCGACAUCAGAAGCCAAUCAUAGCGCGACACGUGUCAACAUCCGAAGCCAAUCACAACACGACACGUGUCAAUGUCAGAAUGAAACUAGAAACUCUUUUCUAUAAAUAGAGAUCAUUCUCUCACAAUAUUUCCUAAUUUCAUUUAUACUAAAUCAUUUACUUGUACUCACUAAAGGAGAGCUUGAACCUAUGUACUUGUGUAAACCCUUCACAAUUAAUGAGAACUCUUCUACUCCGUGGACAUAGCCAAUCUGGGUGAACCAUGUACAUCUUGUGUUCGCUUCCCUGUCUCUAUCCAUUUACUUACUUAUCCAUACUAGUGACUGGAGCAAUCUAGCGAAGGUCACAAACUUAACACUUUUUGUUGUACCAAAGUCCUUGCUGCUUUUGUGCAUCAACAUUUUAAAAAAAAAACCUAAAUCUUCUAAAUUUAUAAAAUAAAAAAAAUAAAAAAAAGCUGAAACUUAUCCCCCCCUCUUCUCCCCGCCACCCCCACCAUCUUCAUCUUCUUCCCUGCAACCCAGAGAAGAAAAAAAAGCCUUCAGUUUGUCUUCCCCACCUCUCCUCCUCCUCCUUAUGUCUUCUCCCCCAUCUUCAUCUUCUUCCCCUAACCCCAUACCUGCAACCCAGGAAAAAAAAAAAAAAAACCAGAUCCCGUCAUCGCCGGGUUCGUGAAGUGGGAGGAAUGGGUGUGGAUUUAAGAAGUAUGGGUGUAUAGAGGAGGGAAGAGGGUGGGUGCGGAGGGAGGGAUGUGGGUUUUGUUGGAAAUGUGCCCUAAAACCAAUCAUAUGAUGAUACUUUACGGACAUUUCACAUGUUAAACUAAUCUAGUUUAAUAUCAAGGGCAAAGAUUAUUGUUUGAGCCGUCUCAUAUAAAUGUUAUAUGCUUAAACGAUAAGUCCAAGGAAUAUGUGAUUGGGAGAAUGCGAUCUAAAGAAGUUAGAUUCAUGAGACCAUUCUUUCGUAGACACAUCCUAAACGUUCCUGAUCAUAGGAUUGCCAAUUGGGCAUUGACAGUCCGUUAAGAUCAGUAUAUGCUGUGUCUUCUCUCAGGGAGAGUGACUAGUCUCGAGUCAUUGGUGUGUGUGACAUCAAGACAAGUACGUAGGUGCUCAAUAGAGAAUGAGUUCAUUGAACACGAUCAACGAAGAGUUCUCAUAUUCAUGUCACAUGAGAACUCAUGGUUGGGAUAAUGCAAAGUAGUCCUUUGACCUGAGGCAUCACGUUUGUCUUGUGGUUAAGUUCUUGAUCUUUGAUUAUGUCAAAGUCACCCCAUUCGCGGGUGUCCGGCAUCGUUGGGGUUAAGCCACUUAGAUAUGGAGGUAAGUGAAUGCGCAACAAGGGAUCUCUAACCUUCAAACCGUUUGGGGGAGAAUACUCUAUGAUAUGAUUUAGAAUCUCUGGCCAGAGUAUGAAUGAGAUUUAGGAAAGUCGUUCCAAAUCACAUUCAAGGUAAUCAUAUAAGCGCACGAAUCACAUUGGAUAGUAGACAUGAAUAAACUAUCAAACCAAACAAUGUGGUCAAGAGUAUUGUUAGAGAAAGACCGUAUUGUAUUUGUAAUCCUAAACUGAAUAGGUUCUCUACCUCUUCUGAUUAGCCUGGGUAACCAUGAUAUGCUGCUAGGUGUCACUCAUGGUUUGUGGAAGCCCUAAACGUGUAUAAUCACUAAAGGGAGAAUUGAAAGUAAGUUUCAAUUCACAAACGAUUUGAAAGAGUUCUAAUCGCCCACUGCCUCGCUAAAAGGAACCUAAUGGAUCGUACACCGUGUAAGGUGGAGAUUGAAGAAACAAUGGAGAUGAGUAAGAAUAAUUAAAUGGUUUAAUUAUUUAUGGCAAGGAUUAAUUAAUAUGUUAAUUAAUCAAACGAAUAAGUUCGUUAAAGAACUCGGGAUAGUUUUGGACCUUAAGGCCCAAUGGGCUUCGAACGUCAAGCCCAUUGACUUAAGUUGUAUGACAAUUUAAUGAAUAAAGAUUCACAAAGGCCCAAAAGCCCAAAAGCCCAAAUCCCUUAUGUGGCCGGCCAUGUGUGUUGAAUUAGGGUUUUUGGUUCUUAAGUCAUUUAAAGAAGUGACUAUAUAAAGAACUUUAUAGCCUAAAAUUCAUUAUGGGUUUCUUUUAGAGAAAAUUGGUGAAAACUUGUCUCUCCUUUUCUCUCUAGGAGGCCGGCCCCCUUGGAGGGUGUAUCUAGCAAUCCCACUACUCCAAGGUCACUCAUUCCUUCUCCAAUCUCUCCUUGGUGUGGAGACUUAGAGGUUCUCAAUUUUGGGAACUUGGAGAAACCUAUUCUUCCAUCCAAAUCCUUAGAUUUUAGAUGCAAGGAAUGAAGGCCCUCUCCUUGGGUGAUUAGUCUUUGCUUAUGCAAAGAGGAAUCUACAAAGGUAUAUAUAUUUCUCAACUCACUUUGUUUUGAGUUGAUUCUUGGUUCACCAAUCUACUAGGCUUUGAAUUUCAUGGGUAAUGUUUUGUUUUUGAGUGCAUGCAAGCAUGAUUCCGCCUUUAAUUGUUAAUUGCAUGCUAUAUGAUGUUAUUCAAAUGAACAUGUUUUCACAAAAUCAUCCUUCAAGUGGUAUCAGAGCCUAGGUUUAGUAGUUGGUGAAUCCUUUUGGGUUUUGUAGUUCAUAGUUUGUGAUUUAAAAGUUGUAAUAUGUUACAAGCUUUAUUCUUGUUUCUUUGAAUGUAAAUUUUGUUAGAAAAUUUGCCAUCUCAAAUGUUGUAGAUGUAGUUCAUAUGAGCAUGAAUAUUAGAGCUAAAAUUUGGUGUCAUGAUUUUGGGGAAAUUCGGCCAAAUCCAAAGGGUGGAUUUUUGGGUUCUUGUUUGACUUGUUAAAAGUGUUUUAAAGUGACUUUUGGAACCCCUAUGUACCCUAGUUUGGUUAUAUGUUAUUUCCCUAAAGUUUGAAUGGUUUUGAGAUGUUUUUGGGUGAAAAAUGUUCAUGGAAAUUUUUGAGUUUUUUCAUGAGUGUUCUUCAUUGUUCUUGACAUUUUUGCCAAGAACAAAAAGUUUUGUGUUUUGAUUCAAAGUUUUGAUUUAUUUCAUAAAGUUUAUGUUUUAUGUUUUUCAAAUGUUUAAAUGUUUUAGAUAUUUGUUUAAAUGGUACUAGAAAUAAUGGUGGGUGUGAAAGGAUUAAUUCCCUUUCACACACACCACUUGUGCACUUGCAUGCUUUAUGUCAAAACUCACAAAUCAACACACACAUCACUCACAUCUCCUCUCCAAAACCGGCCACCCUACAUGUAGGGUACUUUUGGGGCUUUUAUGCAAUUACAUAAAGUUUUGAUACUUUUGUGUAUUUGCACUUUGGCCUAAAAGUUUACGUUUUUACGUUUAGGUCCAAAAACGCUAAAGGACAAAUUGUUUUGCUCCUUUAAUGAAGUUUUUGCAUUAUUAAAAUUUUGGGUUCUAGUUGUAAUUACAUGAAGUAGUGGACUUUUGUGUUUUUACAAAGUGACCCCAAAAGUUUUGCAAUAUAGCCCAAAAAUUGAGGUUAAUUGCUUUAUGGCCCAAAUAAGUUGUGGUUAUUGCAUAUUGGCCCAAAUUAGGUAGAGAACAAAAUUGUUUUGUCUCUUUAAAUGAGAAUUGGAUUUUCAUUUCAUUUAGCUCCAUUUAAAUCAAUUUUAUGGAUACAAAAACCAAAUGAAAAUGUUGCAUUCUAUUUAAUUAGUUAAAUUGUUAAUUAAUUAAAGGGUGAUUAUGAACCUAAGCCUAAUAUAAUUGAGCUAUGUGAAAGGCCGUUUCAAAUUUGUUUGAACCAUGGGAAUGUGUAGAUUAGAUUUUGGUUGUAAUUUGAUUUGAUCAAAUGUUGUAAAAGGGCAUAAGCCCUUCUUUACUUUAAAGGUAAUUUGUUUUAUGCAAAUGUUGUAAUGAGCAUAAGCUCACCUUUACUUUGAAGUACUUCUUUCUUGCUUUAUUUGAUAUGCAUGAAAAUGAAGUAGUUGGGUCCAACGCCCCUAAGACAACACGCCUUAAUGUGAUUAAACGCGUAACUAAAAUCAAUCACCAUCCCUAGACCGAGAUUCAACACAAGGCUCGUGUUGAAUCUAAACAAAGGUUCAUAGUCAUCCUAAGGCCCUAAGGAAACUAUAUAGUCCAUCAAAUGAAUGCAAAGUUUAUGUUAGUACUAUCAUAUACUCUUGCUUUAAAAACCGUUAUAAGCAUAGUGGGAGUAUUAUAUACAACUAAGAACAAUCAUAUGGACCAAUAGUUGUAAUAGGACCAAAAUUGUUUUAAUAGAGAUUAAAAUGUAUGUUUAUAUGUGAUGAGACCUAAAACCCUCAACCAAACCAUUAUUAAGUUGACAAGCAUGAGAGUGUUUUGAACACUCUUUCGUGGCCUUCCACCGUGGUAGGCUCCGAUCGUUUAUGACUUGUACACCGCCUUCACCCUAUCAUGGGGGAGUGCGAAGUGCAUGCUUAUACUCAGGAGGAGUCUAUAUACAUACUUGAUGAGGUGAGUGUAGGCAACGAGGAUGGCCAACAUCAUAUCAUUGUGAGGCUAUUCUUGAACCCCUUCACAAACUAAGCAUGGUGGGAAUGACUUAACUAAGUGCAAUGGAGCCAACAUCAUAUCAUUGUGAGGUGACAUUCUCUAGAGGCCAAAUAAGAUGGGUACUUGCAAGUGAUGCAAAUGAGUAAGCGUACUCUCUCAUUAUUAUUAAUGCUAGCCAACAUCAUAUCAUUGUGAGGUGGGCUUGGUAGUAGUGAGUCUCCCAUACCCUACUAAGAGUUUCAUUAAAACUCUCGAAUUCCAAUGAGGGAUAUGGAAUUUGCCAAAAAUAGUGGGUGGUGCUAUUUGAUUUAAAGACCCGAAUCAAAUGGCUUAAAAUCAAUCAAUUUAUAUUCGUUAUGUAUUUGUUUACCAAUAUAUUUGCAAACUCUAUCCAACACUUGACAAAGAAAAGCCGAAUGCUUUAUUUUCCGGACUUGGUACAACAAUCCCAAAGAUUGUCUUAAAUGGAUUGCAUAUGUACCUAAGUAGUCUCAUCCUCACAAUCUUCCUAUUGAUAAUGUACCAUUAGAAGAAAAUGUUAGAUAAGUCUAUCAUAAGGAGGACAACACUUUUAAUGUCAUAAUUCUUCACUUACAAAUCGUUGUAUGAAGAAAUAACAGUUGCUUUGAACAACCCUUAAUCAAUGCAAACAUUAGUGCUUGUUUCUUUGUUAACAUGAACAAAGGAACUUAAGAAGAAAGCACAAAGGCAUGGACACUUUAUGUGCCAUGAUUCUUCACUUACAAAUUGUUGUAUGAAGAAAUGAGAGUUGCCUUGAACAACUCUUGAAAGUUUGUAAUUAUGUUUAGAACAUAAUGGUUGGUUGACAAAAAAUAGUCCAUUAACAUGGACUUAUGAUGAUUUUGAAUCAUUGAGUGUUGAAGUGAUAAACCACUUAACGAGACGGAAACUAGGCAAGGACUUCACCUUUAUGUCCCUAUCCUAAUGGUUCACUAAGUUUAUUGUAAACUAUGUAGUGAACAAUAACCACAUACUCUCCAAAAUCGUUUGAUGUGUAUAACACAAUUGAAAUAAGUUUCAAGAGAGAUAGUGGGAGUUUAGGGACCAUGACUAUUGUAGUCAAAGGAGAAGUCAAAUGAAGAAGAUAAAAUUAACUCCAAGGGAACAAACUUUCUUUAUGAAAGGAUGGACAUUGGAAGGGGUAUUUGCAAGAAAUGUCUUGCAAGUGUCAAGAACACACCUUUCGAAGGUGUUGUAAAUUGUUCUUGAAUAGUUCAAAACAGUUGGUUCUUCUACUUGAAUGCUUGAUUCCGUAUUAGUAACUAUGUUUUACAAUCGUUGUAAAAGUGUGACUAAUAAGAAGUAGAAGAUAUAUGAGAGAAGAAAAGGUACUUCACAUUCGGAACGUGAAUAAAAUAUAGAUCUCUGCGAAAGCAGAUAUAGUACUUACUUCCUCAUAUGAACUACCAAAGAAAUUGGAAAAACCAAAGAUUGUCUUUACAUUCCAAUUUUAAGGAAUUUAAUUCCGUCACUAUAGUAGAGAUGGAUGAAUGUUUUGUUUGACAAAACAUUGUUCUUUAUUAAUCAAUGAUUGGAUUAUAGUAAUCUAAUUGAUUGUCUCUAUAGUAGAGAUGAUAUGGUAGUGUUAACUGUUUAGAAUAUAAUGAUGCUUAAAACCCAAAAGGUUGCAAGGUAGUGACUAAUCCCAACUAAAGUUGUGAUACCUCUAAAUCAUAAAUUACGAGUUGGUCAUAGAUGGAUGCUUUGGAUCGUUAGAUCCGGAUCCAAUACCUUCUUGUUAAAAUUGUAUAGAGGCGAAAUGUUCGAAUCUUUAUUCUUUUGGAAAGAAUAAAGAAUCACAAAGUUGUUGAGGUUAAUUCACUUAGAUGUUAGUGGCACUUGUCCACAACAUAAUACUACUCAUGUUGGAUGACAUUCACCGAAGAUCACUCUCGGUUGGACUAUAGUUUAUUUUGAAUAAACACAAGUCUGAAUACUUUGCAAAUUUUUUUCAAAGAAUUCAAGAAAUGUAAGUUGAUGAGUAAGACGUCUAAAGUAUUUACCUCCUUAGAUUUGAUCCAAGAUAAGGUAACACUUUAGAUAAGUCUCCUUGAAAGAUAUCAAGGAAAGAAGCAUCAUAAGAUAAUAAAUUUCUCCAUUAAGGAGAAGAACGAACUCGAAUAAGAUUUAGUUCGAUGUUAUCUAUUACCCAUAUAUAGGAUAUAUACUUCUAAAACAAUAUGAUUGUCAAUUAGAAGAUCUUCCAAAUUUUACAUGACUCCAUAAGAUGUAGUUGGAAAGAAAGACAAAUCUUAAGCAUGUUAAGAUUUGGGGUUGUGUGCUAAUAAGCAAUAUUUGUUUGAUAACAAUCUUGUGGGAUAUCCUUUAAAUUAACUUUUGGAUAUCGCUUCUAUAAACCAACUAACAAAUGUUGUUUUGUUGGGUAGUUCAUUGUAAUCCUACAAUGUGAUUUGCCUAAAAGCAAAUGAACGAGAGAUAGAACUCAAAGAAUGGGUUCUUUGAGAGACAAGAAAGUAAUCAACAAAUAUAAACAACCUAGUUCCUAUACCAAAAGCUCCAAGGUAGUCAAGAAGAAUUUAUAAACCGUCUCAGUUGAAUGGUUUGAACUUUAUGACUAUGUCAUAGAGUUGCACCUCUUAAUUCGAAAGAAAUAAGAAUGAAAAUCCUUAUGACUACAUUGAGUGUAUAUAUGAUAUAUACUCAAGAAAAUGGUAAAGUACCAUUUGACCCGAAAUAAUGAAACCUUCAUAAGCUAAUUGGUAGCUUAAGGUGACUACAAUCAAAGAGAAUGGUUGACUUUGAAGAAACCAUCUUUGACGUAGUCUUAGUUUCAAUUAAUUCGAAGAUUGCUAGCUACAACUAAAUGGUGAUUCAAUGUUUGGACAUAAUAUGGGUUUCCGAAACCAUUAUUAAGAUAGUCUUGAUAAUAUAUGUCUAAAACUAUGAAUCACAAGACAUGUAAGUUGUAGAGAUCCAUCCAUCAUGGAAUCUUAAGCAAGCUAGUGGGAGCUAUGAGCAUCUUAUGAGAAAAGGAUCAAAUCGUUUGAUUUCUCAUAAAGAUGUAAAUGAAUCUUUUGUUUACUAGGUUUACAAAAGAUUAGUGGGAGUUAAUCAUAUUCCUAAAAUUUAAAAUAUAUAUUUGAUAUAUUAAUUUUUGGAAAUGAAAAGAAUACUUCUUCGUUAAAGUUAUGACUUUAAAACAUUAUAUGAAGAUAGAAUGUAUAUGGGAGACAUAGUCUAUAUACAUGGGAUGGAAAUCUAUAUUGAUAGAUUUUAGGAUAUAAUUGGAUUAUAUCAAUCCCUAUAUAUAGACAAAAGAUGCUAGGAAGUUUCUCAUAUGAUGAUAAACUUCAAAUCAAAAGGACAACUCUAGUGAGACUAAGAAGUUGCUCUUCUCAAAGGAGAACGUACUCUUUGACUCCCAAAGAAAUAAUGCGUAAAUAGAAUCCUUUAUGCAUACGCAGAAAGGUGAUUUAUGUAUUUCAUAUUGUAUGAAAAACAUUGAUAUGAGUUGUACCUAGAACGGUACAAGACGAUAUCAGUACAAGCCCAGGAUCAGAACCAUGGCAACUGUCAAGUGAGUCCUUAAGUAUUUAAGAAAUACUAAAGGAUAAAUUCCUCAAAGAAUGAGGAAGAAUUAGAGUAACGUAAAUGGAAGCGUAAAUGUAUUAGAUUAUGAAUCUAAUCCAUCAUUGGAUGUUUCUUCAUUAUGAAUGAAGAGAUAAAUCAGAUAUCUCUUUAUUAUGACUAAAGAGAUAUUUGGAUGGAAACAUUAAAAGUAAUGACUUUAGUGUGUUCCAUUAUGAAUGCAAAAUAUAUUGCCAUAUAGAAGCUUACAACAAUUUUGUUUGGAUGGGAAAGUUCAUUUAUGAACUCUCUAUUCGGUUCCAACCAGAAAGUGUAUCUAGUGUACUGACACUAUGACACUAAUGGGGCGAUAGCUCAAGCCAGGGAAUCAAGGUCUCAUCAAGGUCCGAACUCAAAUGAGAGAUUGAACCACAUGAUUGAGAAUCAUGUAUAAUGGUGACGUCGUUAUUCUCAAGGUUGCUUCUAUGGAUAACAUAUAGAUAUCCAUUGUCUAGGCCUACUAUUCAGCCAUUUAUGAAAUGACUACAGAAGAGGUAUCAUCACUGAUGACAAAGCUGAUUGGUUCUAGUGCAAGUGGGAGAUUGUUGGAAAUGUUCCCUAAAACCAAUCAUAUGAUGAUACUUUACGGACAUUUCACAUGUUAAACUAAUCUAGUUUAAUAUCAAGGGCAAAGAUUAUUGUUUGAGCCGUCUCAUAUAUAAAUGUUAUAUGCUUAAACGAUAAAGUCCAAGGAAUAUGUGAUUGGGAGAAUGCGUAAUCUAAAAAGAAGUUAGAUUCAUGAGACCAUUCUUUCGUAGACACAUCCUAAACGUUCCUGAUCAUAGGAUUGCCAAUUGGGCAUUGACAGUCCGUUAAGAUCAGUACGUGCUGUGUCUUCUCUCAGGGAGAGUGACUAGUCUCGAGUCAUUGGUGUGUGUGACAUCAAGACAAGUACGUAGGUGCUCAAUAGAGAAUGAGUUCACUGAACACGAUCAACGAAGAGUUCUCAUAUUCAUGUCACAUGAGAACUCAUGGUUGGGAUAAUGCAAAGUAGUCCUUUGACCUGAGGCAUCAUGUUUGUCUUGUGGUUAAGUCCUUGGUCUUUGAUUAUGUCAAAGUCACCCCAUCCGCAGGUGUCCACGGCAUCGUUGGGGUUAAGCCACUUAGCUAUGGAGGCAAGUGAAUGCGCAACAAGGGAUCUCUAACUUUCAAACCGUUUGAGGGAGAAUACUCUCUAUGAUAUGAUUUAGAAUCUCUGGCCAGAGUAUGAAUGAGAUUUAGGAAAGUCGUUCCAAAUCACAUUCAAGGUAAUCAUAUAAGCGCACGAAUCACAUUGGAUAGUAGACAUGAAUAAACUAUCAAACCAAACAAUGUGGUCAAGAGUAUUGUAUUAGAGAAAGACCGUAUUGCAUUUGUAAUCCUAAACUGAAUAGGUUCUCUACCUCUUCUGAUUUGCUUGGGUAACCAUGAUAUGCUGCUAGGUGUCACUCAUGGUUUGUGGAAGCCCUAAACGUGUAUACUCACUAAAGGGAGAAUUGAAAGUAAGUUUCAAUUCACAAUCGAUUUGAAAGAGUUUUAAUCGCCCACUGCCUCGCUAAAAGGAACCUAAUGGAUCGUACACCGUGUAAGGUGGAGAUUGAAGAAACAAUGGAGAUGAGUAAGUAUAAUUAAAUGGUUUAAUUAUUUAUGGCAAGGAUUAAUUAAUAUGUUAAUUAAUCAAACGAAUAAGUUCGUUAAAGACCUCGGGAUAGUUUUGGACCUUAAGGCCCAAUGGGCUUCGAACGUCAAGCCCAUUGACUUAAGUUGUAUGACAAUUUAAUGAAUAAAGAUUCACAAAGGUCCAAAAGCCCAAAUCCCUUAUGUGGCCGGCUAUGUGUGUUGAAUUAGGGUUUUUGGUUCUUAAGUCAUUUAAAGAAGCGACUAUAUAAAGAACUUUAUAGCCUAAAAUUCAUUAUGGGUUUCGUUUAGAGAAAAUUGGUGAGAACUUGUCUCUCCUUUUCUCUCUAGGAGGCCGGCCCCCUUGGAGGGUGUAUCUAGCAAUCCCACUACUCCAAGGUCACUCAUUCCUUCUCCAAUCUCUCCUUGGUGUGGAGACUUAGAGGUUCUCAAUUUUGGGAACUUGGAAAAACCUAUUCUUCCAUCCAAAUCCAUAGAUUUUAGAUGCAAGGAAUGAAGGCUCUCUUUGGGUGAUUAACCUUUGCUUAUGCAAAGAGGAAUCUACAAAGGUAUAUAUAUUUCUCAACUCACUUUGUUUUGAGUUGAUUCUUGGUUCACCGAUCUACUAGGCUUUGAAUUUCAUGGGUAAUGUUUUGUUUUUGAGUGCAUGCAAGCAUGAUUCCGCCUUUAAUUGUUAAUUGCAUGCUAUAUGAUGUUAUUCAAAUGAACAUGUUUUCACAAAAUCAUCCUUCAGGUUUAUGGGUAAGGUGGGUCGUCGCGAGGGCAGGGGCUUUCAGGGUCCCCGGGGGGGUCUUCCUGGGUGAGGAGGGUCGCGCGGAGGGAGAGGGUUACUGGGUGAGGUGAGUCACGAACGAAAGUAGAAGCUAGAAAGGAAGCAACAGCAGGAAAGGAAAUGAGGGUGGAGGACUUUUGCCUUGCUUGCCAUAGACACUUAGACAACAAGUAUUUGAUUAGGAUGAAUGAUGAAAAAGAUGGAAUUGAAAAAAGUGUAAGUAUGUGUGUCUGAAGACUGAGAGAGAGCAUAGGCAUGUAAUAAUGUGGUUUGGAGGAAGAGGAGGAAAUGUGUUUGAAACUCUUUUUGGGUUGGGGGGGGGGGUUCACGAGGGUGGGGUUUUUGUUCAACUUUUGGAUUUUUUUUUUUUUUUUUUUAGUUUAGAAGAUUUAGGUUUUAAAAAAAACUUAUUAUUUUUGCCACGUGCAUUAAAUGUGGCAGCCACGUCAGCGCUUAAAAGAUUAAUGGAUGAAAAAUGUAAUGGUUGUAUUAUUCGGAAAUAAAAUAGUACGUGAGGUAUGAAAGUGAAAUGUUUUAAAGAUGUUGUAUGAGAUUGUAAUAGACCUUAAACCUGAGGGGCUACUAUGUAAUUUACCCUAAAAAAACAAAACUCUUUCCUCACCCACACUCUCUCUCUCUCCUCUCACUUGUCUCCCUCACUCACUCACUCUCUUUCCUCUCACUUGUAGAGAAACAAUGGUAGCCAUGCUAGCAUGGCCACUUUUCUCCAAAUCCUACCAAAGCUUGUGCGGAUCUAAUGUCGAUGCCACCGAUUCCUCCAGUGACGAAAGAGAUCAACCUUGAGGUCUCUUCGUCUUCAUUUGCUUCAUCUUCUCCUCCUUGUUUUGGUCAUCCUAAGUUGUGCCAAAUCUGCAACACUAACUGAAGUUGCAGAUCUGAGCCCGUAAAAGGUACAUCAAAUAAGGCGACCUAGCCCAUAUAUGAGGCAUUUAUUUGCAACACCAACGAGAGUUUGUUGAGGUUCCCUCCUCGCCAUCAACAAUGGUGUAUCAGCCGAUGUGGAGGAACUCGACAAGGCAGCCAGAAUAGGAGGCCCAGUGGCAGCGGAGGGAGCAUUGAGGUUGAGGGAGAUGUCGCUGGGGAUCGAUGCAGGAAGUUUCGUGUGUUUAAGAGGAUGAGGAAGAAAUGGGACAGAGGAAAUAGUGAGGGGAGGAAGAAGGGUGACGAAUGGGGGAAUGAGUGGAGGAAGAAGAGGAUAAGAGGUGAGGGUGAGAUCGAGUAAAGAGAGUUAAGGGAGACAAGUGAGAGGAGAUAGAGUGAGAGGGUGAGAAAAAGAGUUAUUUUUUUUAAAUUUAAUUGUAAUAAAAAAAUAAAUAAUUAAUAAUAAUUAAUUAGUUUUUUAUUUUAGUUGGGGAAUAAGUGGGCCCCUCUAUGGCUACGUCAUUAUUUAACAACCAAAUUGACAGAAAACUUAACGGAGAUUUGACAUUGCAACAAAUUCAUAAGUUGAUGUAUGACAUUGCAAUGUUUAAAACAUAAGGUAUGAGAUUGUAAUUCGACCCAUAGUUGAGGUAGUUUUGGGUAAUUUACCCUAACAAAAAUGAACAUUGUAGGGGGUUUGAGACGACUGUGGUUGCGAUGCCAAUAAUAAUGUGCAGUAGUUGGGGUGUAGAGGUAGCAGUGAACCAGUGGUGGUAGAGGAAGUGGCAAUGAUUGUGGUAGUGGUGGUGUCAUUGGUGGUGGAAAUGGAAACGAUGGUGGUGGUCGCAAUUGUAGGUAGUGGCGGCGAUGGUGGUAGAAUUUGCAAUGAGAGAUUGUAUCCAGGACCUCAUAAUUAAAAGGAAGUUGUUGCUAGAAAAACCCCAACCUAAUAUGAUGAUUGACACAUAUCCAUUCCCAGAAGUCCCAAUCAACAUGAUCAACCUUAACUAGGUUGAAAAAGGAAAAACAAAGGCUACCUAGGAAGUAAGGGGAGAGAGAGGGCAAGCUGCCAGCCCCAUGGAAAACGUUAGAACAUUGCCGACAGACCUCAAGCGUUUGUAGUCAAAUGAGUGGUUUGAUGCAGCAAGUGUCAAUGUGAGUGUGAGCUCGAGGUGCUAGCAUCGGGCACCAUUAUUGACCGAGAGCUAGCUAGAAGAAGAGAAACUUCCAAGAAUGUGUUCCAAAGAUUAAGAGGAGACUCAGAGCCCAAGGGUUUGUAUGAAGUAUUUAGAAAUUAUGAAGCCUCUGAAGAGAUGAAGGAUAAAGAGGCGAAGAUGUUGGAAAUGUUCUCUAAAUCCAAUCAUAUGAUGAUACAUUACAGACAUUUAACAUGUUAAACAAAUCUAGUUUAAUAUAAAGGGUAAAGAUUAUUGUUUGAAGCUGUCUCAUAUAAAUGUUAUAUACUUAAACGAUAAGUCUAAGGAAUAUGUAAUUGGGAGAAUGUAAUCUAAAGAAGUUAGAUUCAUGAGACCAUUCUUUUUUAUGAACUCUCCAUUCGGUUCCGACCAGAAAGUGUCUCUAGUGUAUUGACACUACGACACUAAUGGGGCAAUAGCUCAAGCCAAGGAAUCAAGGUCUUAUCAAGAUCUGAACUCAAAUGAACCACAUGAUUGAGAAUCAUGUAUAAUGGUGACGUUGUUAUUCUCAAGGUUGCUUCUAUGGAUAACAUAUAGAUAUCCAUUGUUUAGGCCAACUACUUAGCAAUUUUUGAAAUGAAUUCAGAAGAGGUAUCAUCACUGAUGACCAAGCUAAUUGGCUCUAGUGCAAGUAGGAGAUUGUUGGAAAUGUGCCCUAAAUCCAAUCAUAUGAUGAUACAUUACGGACAUUUCACUUGUUAAGCUAAUCUAGUUUAAUAUAAACGGCAAAGAUUAUUGUUUGAAGUCGUCUCAUAUAAAUGU